GCAGACGCUGUUGCCGGCGACGACGGUGAGGAAGAAGAUCUGGGGGUAAGUGAGGGAAACGAUUGUUCCGGUGAUGAACAGGUACUGGAGGCCGUAGCCGAGUAAGCCGAGAGCGGAGCCGAUGAGGAGGACGAGCCAGAGAGGGAAAUGGAGGGCGGCUAAGCCGGCUAGGAAGCCGAAUAGCUUGCCGGCGUCGGAGGCGAAGGCUAAGUUGUUGAGCUGGAGCUGGGAGAUGGAGAGGAGGGAUUUGAGCUGGGAGGAGUAGGCUGGGAAGUUGGUGUUGGUUCCGUUUACUGAUUGGAGCCGUUUUAUUCCGAACAAGCUUACUGACUGGAGCCAUAUUAUUCCGACCAGGCUUAGCCAUUGGAGAGUAGUAGAGGUAGAGCUUGGCAUUUUUUGUUUUGGUUAGUUUAAAAUAUUUUAUUUUUUGGGUUUGGGGGGGAAUUUGUAUAUAUGGAGGGGUUGAAAUUGAAUUAUUGGGGGAGUUUGGUUAUUGUUGUAGCGACUUUAUGGGAUGUGUAGUUACUGAGAAUGGGCGGUUUUUGAUUUGUGUACGUGUGUGUGGGUUUUGGGUGAGAAGAAACUUGAAAUUGAAGGGGUUUGUUUAUGGAUGAAGAGAAAUUGACUUAGGUGUCUAAGUCGGUAUGAUUGUACUACGUACAACUUAUCAUUCGUGAAUUUACUACUCCAAUCCUUUGUCCUAGUUAGCAAGGUUUUGAGUUUGUUAUUGAGCUUUUUUGGAAGGAAGUUUGUUUUGGCAUCACACAUACAUGCAUGUGCACUAACCGAACUCAUAUACAAUUUCUGAGUUUUAUUGUUAUAGUGGAAGGGAUGUGAGUUGAAACGAAAUUCUUUUUCGAAAAGAAUUAUUGCUUUUUUAAUGGUUAUUAAAACUAACAUUCCCUGAUAAAAUUAUCAAUCAGUUCGGAGGGUUUAUACUCAAAAUUGGGUUAGACAAAGUUAAUAACCGUCGAGUCGAACAAGUUUAUGAUCAAUCAUAUUACAUUCUUUGAAAGAAAAAGAUUUUUUUUUAUUCGAAUAUAAAUUAUUUGAUUUUUACAAAUACAAAUUAUUUUUGAGAUUUUGAAUUUUUUUUUUGUCAAAACGUCACAUAAGUUAUAUCCAAGAAAUAUAAAAGUAGAGUACCUUAUACUGAAAAAAAUACCGAAUCUCACGAUUGAGCAUACUCAAAAUAACACAAUUGAUUGAAGAACUAGAGUCGUGGCAUUUUAGGUUCAGAAAAAAUUUAUUAUUUCACCACUCACAAAUUUUAAGGCGGGUAAAUUUUUUGUCGAUGAAAGGAGGGGGGGGGGGGCAUUUUUUUGUUUAUCUUCAUAGUAAAACAUCAAAACCUCUCCAUUCAAAUCCAGUGACUGCAAAGCUAUAAUUAGGAGGGUGGGACAUUUGCGAGAAACCCAAAAAAUGUGUGAAUGGGUGAGAGCAUUAAUAAGUAACAGUGAGUUGGUAGAGCCAUUUUUCUAGUUAGAAAGAUGGAUGGAUUAAUAAUAAUUGGCUUCUGGUUGAGUAGUAUAUUUAUUUAAGCAAAUAAUGCAUUGUAACCCCUAUUUUUUCAUGGGUUUGCUAAUUGAUCGAUAAGCCAUUUAAUUCCAUCGAAUGACACAGAAUUUCUCAAUAUUCAUGUCGGUUUUUUUAAUNNNNNNCGGUUUUAUAACUUAAUUUUUUUAAUAAAAAAAUACUUUUUACGUUUCAAAGUCAAGUAGGAAAGUAGUGAAGAACUAAGUUAUGUUAUUUGAAAAAUAAUGUGAAACUUAAUUAAUGUGUCAGAAAUAUAGGUAUAAGAUAAGAAGACAAGUAUUCAUAUGGAGUGAGGAUAUCGACCAGUGCUCUUCUUUGUCAACAAGAACAAUCUCAGACUUCAUUUCUCCAUUGAUUUCAAACCUUAAAUAUAUAUUUGUGGUAACAGACAUCCUGAACGAGUGGAGCUACUCCCACUCUCCUACUUCUGCAUUCCACUUUUACGUGAACCAGAAACAUCAAUUCAACUAACAAUUCAAGACUAGUUCAACUAACAAUGACUACGUACGCACCGCAAGCAAUUGAGGACUUGACUGAAGAAUUCACUCGUGGACGAAACGCGGGUAUGGCCGACAUGAACGAUCAAGAUCACUACAAAUGUUGUAUAUAAUGGGUCGAGAAUGAGAUAUGGUCGGACCGGAUGUAACAACGACUCAUGCCUCAUCUUCACUAGGAGUCAGAUAUUACCUACCUCAAAACAGGUCACGUCCAAAAUACUAUUCAUAUUCCUGGUUCCAUAUUUUUUUGUUUGAAGGGAUCAUGACCCUCCUUUUGAACACGUGGCUUUGUCAAUCUCUACCAUGCUUACGACCUGCCUCAAUACGCCACCAACCCAAAUCGGGCAAUCCAUCCAGGUGAUCAUAGCUUAUUGGACUUGUAUGAUUGUAUGCCUGGUUUGAUGAUCUUUGCAUUGUUUUCCCAUUUUCACACCCUAAUACAUGGUAGGAGGAUGAAUCUUUCACUCAAAAUCCAAACAAAAUUCAGGCCACUACCUUUGACUAAUUAACACAGAGUGUCAAAUCAUAUGAUGGUAUGAUGAUGGAUGACAUUGUGGCAGCAGCCAGUUCCCCGUCUCUCAAGUGUUUGCACAAGCUAGCUACUUAUAAUAACUUCAUAACGUGCAUUAUUAUCCCUUGGCUGAAAAUUGAAGGCAAACGCCACAUAUGAGGAGCCGCCGUCCUUUUAUUGGCGGAGAGCAUUCCCAUUCCCGACCCAUAAACCCUAUCACCAAAAUAAAUUGAUCGAGGCAUGGUUUUACAACCGGAUGUAAUUGUGGAUAGGGACAUAAUAUGGUACUAGCUAGGAAUGGGAUCUGAGUAUGUGACCCUGUUUUUUUUUCCCUUUGGAGAAAGAUCGACGACAUUGUUUCAGCUCCAGAGAGUUUGUCUUUAAUGAUGAUCGUAUAUCCUGACAAAUUAAUGGGAGUAUGUAUAGCUGCGGAUGAUCGAAGAUAUAUUAAUGGCCGCGAGAACUAAGAAUUUGGGUGUUUGAUCUACAAGGCAAAGCCCCGCAUCACGGUCUCGAGUCAUGCAACCUGAUGGGAUGCUUCUUGCAAAUCAUGUCGAGCGGGUGGACUUCAAUUGGCGAUUGUCGUGGCGCUUGCAUAAGAUCUGCCAAUUAUUUUCAGCUCAGGUCACACAGUUGAACCCUCACAAACUGCGGACCACAAUGUUGACAAUUGCAGAGGAUGGGACUUUCUUGCAGAGCCAGCUGGUAGAUGAGCUGGUCAUGCACUUGUUGCGGGACUGCCUCUUUGCAGUUAGCAAGUUGUAUUUUUAGACGCUUACAACUCGAGGUGAGAAUUUGCUUAAUCACGAGGGCUGAAUCGAGAAGUGGACUUGAAACCUCUUUAGAUUGCUUGGAAGAGAAGAUAGUAGACAGUAUAAGUGAAAUCAAAUUCAUCUGUUGCUAGCCAAGGGUGGUGAAACAUUACAACACCUUUUCAUCAUUAGGAACAUUCUGAGACUGUAAUGCACCAAAUACCAUGGUUAAACAGAUGAACUACUACUGAAAUCUCUGCCACAUAACAAGAAGAGCCUAUGAGUCUUUACUUCCACAUUUGAUUCUUGGUUAAUCCAACAGGUUCCUCGGUUCAAAUUACACGAAAAGCUUCUCCAAUUGCUACCUUAGCCUCUCAAAUCUCUGCCACAUAACAAGAAGAGCCUAUGAGUCUUUACUUCCACAUUUGAUACUUGGUUAAUCCAACAGGUUCCUCGGUUCAAAUUACACGAAAAGCUUCUCCAAUUGCUACCUUAGCCUCUCAAAUCUGAAGCAUGUAGCAACAAUGCUUACUCCGUUACUCGGGAUAGAUACAAACCAUGCUAAAAUACAUGAUGGUGAAUGCCAAAAGAAUAUGUGUGAGGGUGUGUUCAACUGAUUAGAGUUGUGAAUUUGUCAGGACAAGAAUACCACUACCAAAGCCACCACCAGUGCGUGAUCUAUGGACCCUGGAAACACAGUCAGCCGGAAUUUGCUCCUACUCGCAUGAACCUCGUGAAGCUUGUACAUCAGACUAGUCUGCACCAAUAACUAUCCAUGUUAAUCAAUCGAUACGAAUUACGAAGCUAACUGCAAUGUGUGUGCAUCUAAAACAACAACCAAAUGCAACAUGCUUCAAACAGUGAUUCUCUAAACCAUAUUUGAAGAAAAUUCCAUAAAAUGGUUUAUAUGUUGUUAAAAUGCUGAACUACAAAGCUUACAGGAGUACAGGACCAGGGUGGAGCUACAAAGUUCAGCCUUUAAACGGUUGGCUAUCACUCGUAAGUGUGGAAAUCAUUGAACAAUAUCAUGGUUUCAAAGGAGUAUUCAGGUCGUGCAAGAGAAAAAAAGCCCCAACAAAGUCUUCAAGCAGCCAGAGUUAUUGUUUGUAUGAGAAUGAAAGGAUCCAGACCGUUGAGAAUGUGAUCUUACCUGAGCUACAAUGGAAUCACCACCAUAGAUGGUGCAGGAUCGUUGAAAGCAACACCCUUUCACCUUGAAGUCGGGUUUCGACUGAUCUUGUGAGCUCUCUCCGGCAAGGAACACCUCAAACUCAGUUCUGCAGAGCUUGUUCACCGUCCUUUGGACUCUGAAUAGCAUCUCCUUCUCUGCCUCCUCACCUCCUUCAAAAACUUCCCAUGAUCCCUUCUACAUAAACCAAUUCAAAGCUGGGUUCUUUACAUUUGGAUCAAUCUCAAACUCAAAUGAGUUCACCCAAUCAAUCGUACUCGUAUUGAUUCUCUAAAAAUUAAUCAUAGAAACAGGAAACAGGAAGCCUAAGAACUCUAAUUUCACAAGCAAUUGAACUCAACUGAUACUCGAAGGAGCAAAUAGGAGACAGGAAUCAAUCAAACCCUAAGGAAGAAACAACAAAGCACUCACAUCGAGGCGGUGCAAGGAAAUCAAGGGACUACCAGAAGAAUUGAGAAUCAGCUUCUUGCACUGUCUCGAUUUCCAUGCUCUGGGGGAAAGAAGUGGAGCUACGCGAAAGAGUUCAUCCCCAGAGGAAUCGGCGAAACCAAGACUUCCCUGUGGAACUCCGGGAUGCUUCUUGGAGACAAACAAGUCCACCGGAAUCUGAGAAGCGGCUGCAUGGGCGACGACGGGAGGUGAGUCUUUGCCAUCCUCCAUUCACAGAUUGAGCUCGAAUUUUGUCAGCUGGCGAAAGGAAAAAGGGUUGAGAUGGCUGAAGAAAGCAGAAAGGGGAAAAGUGGAAUUAGUCAUGAUUUUUACAAUGUCUGGACUGAUCAAACGAAGUCAGCCCACUUUGUUCCUCAACAACAAGAAGAAUUCGUCGGGACGAAGAAAUCCAAACAGAUGUGUCUGGAAGUUGGCCGGUGUAGUGCCACGCGAAUGUCACUGGUCUUCCUUUUAGUUUUGGGUCAAACGCAUAUACGAAAUUACACACAUACCCUUGAGCCACAACGACGUCGUUCAUGCUUACAUGGGCCGACUACUACUAGUCUGCGACCCUCUGAGCUGAGUUCCCCGUCUGCUCUUAUUUGCAAUCUUUAUAUUUUCGAUUCACCGUCGCUGCUCCCCCUCCUCCAAGGCGGCGAUAUAGUUGUUGAAUUUUCUCCACGCCAGCAAAAGAAUGGGGAAGCAAAAGGGAGAUGGCGGCAGGAGCAAGAACCGACCUUCUAGCAGCAGGUUUUGGAGAGCUCACGAAAUUUUACUUCCUUCUAGCUCUUCUUCUUCUUCUCCUAUUCUUUAAGCAGUGAUGAUUGAGCUCAAAUUUUUUAUGCAUAAACGUUGUUUCUUGUAGUCUAGCAGCUUCUCUGUUGCCUUCGGGUUCUUCUGCAGCAGCCGUGGGAUUUGGCGGCUAUGUCGGGAGCUCUCGCUUUGAUGUUCCAGUUUCAGUCGACGACUCUGCUCCUUUUCUGGUGAGCUAAUACGACGACGUCGAAUCUGUAAAAUUCGAGAGGGUUGGAUCAUGGAGGUUUUUGUUCUUUUUAGCUGGUGUGAGAUUUUUGUGUUUGUGGAUUUUGCAGGACGUGGACAGUGAAGUUGCUCAACACAUAAAGAGGCUCGCGAGGAAGGAUCCCGUUACCAAGGUGUUUAUUGUUUCUCUAUUCGGCUGCUUUUUCUGUAUCAGUUCUUCAUAACUCUGAUCAUAUAUUUUGCAACAGCUUAAAGCACUGCAAGCAUUGUCUGCUCUGUUCAAAGUUAAGUCUGGAAAGGAUAUGGCGUUGAUUAUACCGCAAUGGGUAAACUUCUUCUGCCUCCCAUCGAUUUCUAAUAUGGGAUUCUAUUUACAUUGUUUGAAUGAAAGUAGUGCAACUAAAGCAUUCAUUAAUGAGUAAGAAUGUUUGCAGAUCAUGAUAGAGAACAGUUCAACUAGGGAUUGUUUUGUUAUUGUUCAUGAUAGGUGGUGCUGGCCCUAGAGUUUCAGACAAUGAUAAAUUAUUACAUGUUUUAGUCCAACCCUUAGGGUUUGACUGGAAGUGCUCUGAGUACAAUAUUUACAGUAGUUGAAGGAAAGUUAGGCUGUUAGACCUAAAUGUUUAUUUUAUCUCGUCUUCUCUUGCUGGUUAGGACUAUUGUCAUGUUCCUCCAAUCUAUCUAUGCAUAGUCAUACCGAUAUUUAGAUGCUUUUCAGGGAAAAGAAAUUCAAUCUCUGUGUUGAAGUUUGUAUCUUGUACCUGUGGCUUUCAUUGCCGUCUUUCCUCCUUUUAGCUGAAGAACGUGUCUCUUCUUUGUCUUUUUUUCUGCUCGUCCAGUCAAUAAUCUUUUAUGAACUGUCAAUUUCUGUUUCCUGAAUGACGCUUGUUUGAGUCUACUUGCUUCACAUCUUACUGUCUUUUCACUUUCCGUGCUGCUCUUUGUUCAGGCCUUUGAAUAUAAGAGGUUGCUGAUGGACUACAAUAGAGAAGUUCGGAGGGCAACGCACGAAACCAUGACCAAUCUUGUUGUUACUGUUGGGUAAUGACAUUUUGUUUUCAUGAUAUAUUCCAAUUGUAGAUUUUAAUGCAAAUGAAGUUGUCUUUCCUUAUGCUGGCAUUUUCGUGAUAUUUGUUGAUGUUUAUGUUUCUCCCUGCUUCUCGGCAACACCUAUCUUUAUCACAGGCGAGAUAUAGCUCCACAUCUCAGGACUUUGAUGGGACCGUGGUGGUUUUCACAAUUUGAUCCAGUUUCUGAAGUUUCUCUUUCUGCAAAGCGAUCAUUGCAGGUAAUUCUAGUUUACUCUAUUUAUAAUAGUUGACUAAUAGUUUUGCUGUUAGGAGAGACCGACGAUGAAUAUACAUUUUAUGUCUGUUUCAGAUGGUCAAUAAUCCUGCUGCUUACUUACUGUUCCUCAUGUUUAAUCAGGCAGCAUUUCCAGCACAAGAGAAAAGACUAGAUGCUUUCAUUUUAUGCGCAACGGAGAUAUUUAUGUAUUUGGAAGAAAAUUUGAAGUUGACACCACAAAGUCUGUCAGGUAAAGCUGUGGCUUUGGACGAAUUGGAGGACAUGUACCAUCAGGUAAUCUUGUAGCUGCUGUGUAAGGGUAUUGGUCUAUGACGGUUAGCUCUACGGAGCCAAUAAUAUUAUUAUUAAUGUGUUUGUUCUAGUUCUGAAGAUUUUCCCAUGUCGUUGAAAAAUUAGUGAAGCUAACUAGCAGGCUGACAUUCCACAAUUGAUGGUCCUUUAAAUGACGGAAUCGGAAAUGCGUAACUGUUUCUCAUAAGAUGAACAUUCGUAGUCUAAUUAGGAUGGCACGACUCUGUAGUACUUUGCUGAGGCAUGAACUUUAUGUUUUGUUGACUUCUCAAGUCAGUUCCUAUAUAUAUGGGAGCAUUCUUCUGUUUGCUUAAAUUGAUGACUUAAUUCAAGUAAUUUCUUGAUUUCCAGGCAGUCGCUUCCACUUUGCUCGCGUUAGCAACACUUAUUGAUGUUUUAUUUAGCUUGCAAUCUGAAACAGCUGGCCUGGAAAACGUUGCAGCUGAACCAAGAAAUGCCUCAAAGGCUAGGGCAACUGCUAUUUCUUUUGCUGAGAAGUUGUUCUCUGGGCACAAAUAUUUUCUAGACUUUCUUAAGUCACAAAACCCAGCAGUUAGGACAGCUGCAUAUUCUACACUGAAGAGCUUCAUUAAAAGUGUUCCUCAUGUUUUCAACGAUCAAAAUAUGAAAACAGUAGCUGUUGCUGUACUUGGUGCUUUCCAAGAGAAGGAUCCUGUUUGUUAUUCAUCAAUUUGGGACACAGUAUUAUUAUUUUCGAAAAGAUUCCCUGACAGCUGGACGAUAAUUAACGUUCAAAAGAAUUUCCUCGGCCGGUUUUGGAAUUUCUUAAGGCAUCAAUGUUUUGGUUCGCAGCAAGUCUCUUAUCCUGCAUUGAUUCUUUUUCUGGAGGCCGUGCCUUCCAAUGUAGCAGCAGGAGAGAGGUUCUUCCUUGACUUUUUCCAAAACCUAUGGGAUGGCAGGAACCUGUUGCGUUCAGCUGUAGCUGACCGUUUGGCAUUCUUCAAGGCCUUUAGGGAGUGCUUUCUUUAUGCACUGCAGAAUGCACCCAGGUACGAGUUUAUCAACUGUCACUUGUGGUCAAUUCAUUUGCUUGCUUGUCCAUCAUUGGAUGUAAAUAUUGUAUUAAUCUUUGUAUUAGCAGUUUAAUGUGGUUGAUUCUUUGCUAUGGUAAUUUUAUGUUUUCAGAUAAUGAGAUAAUCUUUUAUUGUUGCCAGGUAUUGCAAUGGGGUUGAUUCUAUACUGAAAUUUCGAGAUACCCUUGUUGAAGAAGUCCUCGUGCACCUUCUGUGGCAUGAUUACCUUUUUUCUGGAGGAUCCAGUGGUCAAGAUGCUGGGUCUUCUGUUAAGAACACAACAGGGUCAGUAAACCUGAAAUAUCCUUGGAGUUACUUGCAAGAAUUGGGGAAGUGCAUUACAGAAAUUCUUUCUGAAAGCUAUUUAAUAGAAUAUGAUGUGCUUUCAACUUACUCUGCGGCAUUUCGGGAGGAUUCUGUAAGCCUGUUUCAGAAAACAGUAAAUGUUUCAGAAAGAGCAGAAUGUGUUGAUCGAAUCAUCAAGUUUCUGUCAUUACUGGAGCAGCAUUCAGUUCAGAAAGGUGAAGAUUGGCCCUUGGUUCAGUUAGUAGGACCAAUGUUGGCCAACUCAUUCCCAUUGAUAAAAUCUUUUGUGAGUUACUUCGCUAAUAAAAAUGUCUUCUCUUGGUUUAGUUUGAUUCCAGGUGAUUCUCAUUGUUCGACAGAAAAAUGUUGUGCUCAAUUUAUUGCUGUUUCUCCAGUGGAAGACAGUCGAUGGCUUAUUUUCUGUAGGCAUGAGAUUUUGAGGUCACAUAGCAGCUUCAAUAGCAAACUGCAUCUGCCAGACUAAGCAUGCAUUAGAAAUUUCGUUGUUGUAUCCUGGCUGUUAAAACUUACUGCGUCAGUUAUGAAUUUAGGUCCUCUGUCCGUUUAGGCCUGGAGGUGUUCCCUUUGCAUUCUGGGAAAAUAGAAAAAAAAAGUAUUGCUGCUUGUUCUUGUCCCCAUUCUUGCGUGGACUUUAACAAUCUGGCUGAACCUUUUCCAAACGUUUGGAUGAUUUAGCGUAGGGAAAAAUAUUGAUCAGUAGUUCAUAUUUUUCAAUUCAUCCACUUCAAUGUCCCCAAAAUUAAGCUUAAGAUGUGUCCUUUUAACUAUAUUCCGAUAGUGUUGUCAUUCAUGGGCGUAAAAAUUUGUUUGGUGCAAUGUUUCUGACAUGUUUUCUGGACUUGUAUUUUGGGAUUCAGGAUGUUCCAGAUGGCAUUAAGCUUCUAUCAACGGCAGUUUCAAUUUUUGGUCCACAAAGAACUCUCCACCAACUUUUCAUCUGUAGCAAUGAGAGUCCUUGCAGCGCCAAUCCUGGUGAAAAGGACAAGGAGUUGGCCCCAUUCAUGCAAGUAUUCAGCGAGACAUUUGUUCCAUGGUGUUUAUCUGGUCACAGUUCCUCAAUCAGUAGUCGACUUGAUUUGUUACUUGAAUUGCUAAAUGAUGAAUCUUUUCCCAAGCAAUGGGACAUAAUUGUUUCAUAUGUGAUUAAUCAAACAAAUGGAAGUGGUAGAAUCGAGGCUGGGACCCUGGAGUCAGAAAGGUUGGUUUCACUGGCAAUGCUCUUGGAUAAAGCAAGAGUUGAAAUGAAAAGCAAGACACUGACCAGAACUUCAGCUCACCAGCACUGGUAUAAUCCACAGGCUUGGUUUCACGGGCUUCUAGAAUCGGCUGCAGUUCUUGUUGCCUAUUCUCCAAUCACAUUCACACGUUCUGCUUCUCAGUUUCUGUGGUAUGUACAAAGAAAUUUAUAUUCUAUCUUCAUUGUCGCUAUGGGUAAGAAAUUUAGGUCAUAAUGGGAAAAAUAUUUCUUUAGUGAAUUGUCACCUGCAUGCUUUCUAUUGUAGAUGUUAGACAUUUUUAUUUGUAGCUAUAUCUGUAUCUGACUAUAUGUUUAUGCAUAUGUUAUUGGGAAUCAGCUAUUGUUUCCAAUGUGAUUGUAAUGUUCUGAUUAUUUUAAUUUAUCUGGCAGUGCUGUUCUUGGGGGACCAUGCAAUGACAAUCAAAUAUUUUUCGUGUCAAAAAAUAUAAUCACAUUGAUUGCUAAAGCAUUCAACAGAAGAUUUCUCUCUUUCAUGGCCAAGUCCUCUUUUGAAUCAGUUAGAAAUUCAGUUUCUGUAUUAACCGAAGAGAUGGAUUAUGCUGAAAUUGGCAAUGACAGCGCUGUUAACAUAAUGGAGAUGACUCAAUUUUCACUCGAUGUACUUAGUGAUAGGUUCUUUUGCCUGAAAUCAAUAUCAGAGGACAUUGGACUAGUUUCAGGGAUCAUGGCUUCCGUUUUCAUCAUUAACUGGGAGUUCGAAAUGAUGACAAUGGAAGAACAUGCUAUUAAUGAUGAAUCAAAUGAGAAGAUGAUCGGAAGGAGAGAAGUUUGCCAAGUCGCUCGUGAUCUUUGCCUUAAACUAAAGGAUGCAUUCUGUGAAAGCCUUCCGGCGAACAUUCGAAUGCAGCUGGGAGACCUUCUGGUUCAGUCUGUCAGGUUGGUCGUUCUUAGGGAAUGUAAGCUGAGUGCUGGUGUGAUUACUUCUUUGGGCUGCUCUUGGAUGGAGGAACUCCUUGCAUGUCUGUGCAUUGAUCAACCUGAGGAACAGAAUUUACUUGACCAGCUGUUAAGCAAGGAUCAGACUUGGCCUUCAUGGAUCGUUGCAGAUUUUACGGUUGGAAGUACCUCAAAUAAGUUAAAUAUGGAAAACGAUACAUACGUAAGUAGCAUGUUUUUCGAAAUUUUUCUUUUCGCCGAAUCAAGCUUCUCAUUCAUUGUUUUAUAUAUAUGUGCUCUAAAUUCACGAUAUUGUCCUCAAAACAACAGUUGAAGCAUCUAAUUUUUACUCGGCUUCUCACACAUGGAAAUUGCUUAUUGCUUGAAUUUUGAAGGAAUUUCGCUUCAUGUGGUUUCACUGCUUAGAUGUCGAGUUGGAAAAUAAUGUUCUUAUAAGCAUUUCUGAGAUUUGGUAAUUAUUGUGUUGCAAGACUUUGAUAUAAAAGAUCAUACCCGGAGCUUCAAGCCGCAUUGUGCUUUCUAUAUGUCUUGUCUAGUUCAUAGUAAAUCGAUAAGAUGCAAUCACAUUUGGAAUAUGUCUUCUUAUUGUUUGUAUUAAACCAUUUACUUCUAGUCGUGGCACCCUAGAGGAUUUAAAACCAACUUCAGGUAUUAGAUUAAUGAGAAAGAAGCAAGUAAAUUCCCUGCAGAGAGUACCAAAUGCUGCUUGAGAAGUUCUUCCAAGCCUGUUUUGAUAUAUGCCUGGGAAACAUGAGAUAUCAUGGUUAAUAUCAUAACCUAGGUAUUACAUGCUCCGCCUGCUUUCUGGCUUGACUUUUUGUUGUCAUUCCAUUUUAAGUGUCACCUUUGUUUUCAUUUGACGUCUGGACUUUAGUUGGUAAUCUGCAAUUAAAUGGCCUGUGCAGGUAUCUGGCAAUGUCAAGUUUGUUUCUUUAAUUGACAAGCUUAUCAAGAAGGUCGGAAUCAAUAGAGUUCUAUGCCUUGAUGAUGAUGGCGAUGCCUCAUUGAAGGAUCCAAUGAAAGACGAGAGUACUACUCGAGCAUGGCUUGCAGCUGAAAUGUUAUGUACAUGGAAUUGGAUAGAAGGUGCUGUUGUUGAUUCUUUCUUACCUUCACUGGUUCUACCUGCCCAAGGUGGGAAUUAUCCUCGUGUACACAGUUUACUAGAUGACAUCUUGGACAUCCUGCUCAAUGGUGCUCUUGUUCAAGGAGACAGAGGCAGAGUAAGAUUGUCAAAUGUGUGGCCUGCUUCGAAUGACGAGCUAGGAAAAAUUGAAGAACCAUUCUUAAGGGCUUUGUUAACUUUGGUUGUUACUUUGUUUAAUGAUGGUAUAUGGGGAAGAGACAAAGCUCUGGAGCUGUUUGAGCUUCUCAUAACAAAGCUGUACAUUGGAGAAUCAGUAAACACCAAUUGCUUAAAAAUUCUUCCCUCGAUCAUUAAUGUUCUUAUACAAUCGGUAUGCCAGAGAGGUAGUACACCUUCCGAAUCUAGCCAAAAUAAUGAAGUUGACAUGCUAGAUCGAAAGCUGCAGGAUAUGCUCAAAGAUUGGUUGUAUAGGACCCUCAUGCUUCCACCUUUACUUGAGUGGACAUCUGGACAAGGUAAAUGCAAGUUUCACUGCAAACCCUUCUCUCCUAGUCUUCCAAUAAAAGUGGAAAACUAGCAUUGAUGAUAAAAUCCUUUCCCUAUAGUUCUUAUUUGCUAUUUUGAUUUUUUUUGGUCGAGAUAUCAAGAUAGCACACCAUCCUAAGCUAACGAAUUAUUUUGCUUUCAUUCAAUGAACAGAUAAGGAAGAAUGGGUUGAGCUAGUUAUUACUUGUUACCCUUUGAGCUUAAGCCCCUGCUCCAAAUCAUUGAAGUUGGAGAGAGACAUUAGCUUGGAAGAGCAGACACUUUUACUGGAAUUAUUCCGCAAACAGAAACACAGGACAAUACCAGUAGCUAAUCAACUUCCAGUUGUUCGGAUAUUGCUUUCGGAGUUGCUAGUCAUUUCUGUCGGCUAUUGCUGGAAACAAUUUGCGGAGGAUGAUUGGGAGUUCUUUUUCUCACAGAUUAGGGCCUCUAUUCAGUCAGUGGUUGUUAUAAUGGAAGAAAGUACAGAAAGUGUGAAUGAUAUCUUUUCUGAUGGCUCAGCCUCUGAAAGGCUGGAUGUUUUGAAGAAGCUGGAUCAGCUUAGUUUGAUUUCCGACGAUCCUACUGUAAAUAUUGCUAGCAAUGCCUUGGCUUCUUUCUCACUGUUUUAUGGGGCUUUGGGGCUCCAGUCAGGUAAGGAUGAUUCAAACUCAAUCGUUCUGGAGAGAUGGAGUUCGCCAGUUGGUAGACUGCAAGAAGCUAUUCUUCGACUGUUUUUCUGUACUGGAAUUUCUGAAGCUAUUUCAAGUACAUACAGUGAUGAAGCUGCAUCUAUUGUAGCGAAGUCUCGGUGUUGUAAUCCCUUAUUUUGGCAGUUGGUCGCUUCAAAUAUUAUUAACUCUUCUCCACAAGCUAGAGAAAGAGCAGUGAAAUCUGUUGAAUUUUGGGGGUUGAGCACUGGGUCAAUCAGUUCCUUGUACACGAUUUUGUUUUCCUCUAUACCAAUCCCAGCUUUGCAGCUUGCUGCCUAUGUUAUUCUCUCCACAGAGCCUGUUUCACAACUGGCUGUGGUGAAUGAUUCCAAUCGUGCGACAGAUGAUGUUUCUGGUAAUGAUCAAGAAACUUCUACUCUCGAAUUGUCAUCAGAAAAAAAUGUGAACUUGCCAGAGGAACUAUCCCUCAGAAUUGAGAAUCUGUCCUAUGAGGUGCUUGAAAUGGAUUUGAUGGGCCAUGAACGGGUAAUUAUCGACAACCUUGUUUUCAUUUGUAGUAGUCGUAUAAAUUAUUGCGAUUUUUGCGCUUCAAAAUAGUGGUUGAUUGAUAAUUGGCUUGUAUAUUUUGUAGGUAAAUCUAUUUCUUUCUUGGUCGUUAUUGCUGUCACAUCUGGGGUCAUUACCAACAACAUCUCCUGCUAGAGAGCAAUUAGUUCAGUAUGUCCAAGGUUCUGGUAAUUCAGUGAUAUUAGAUUGCAUCUUCCAGCAUAUUCCUCUCGAAGAGUUCUCCUCACAGAUACUUAAGAAGAAAGACGCUGAGCUUCCUCCUGAAGUGUCGGAAGCUGCAAGGGCAGCAGCUAGGGCCAUAAAUACUGGCUCAUUAUUGUUUGCCCUCGAAUCGUUAUGGCCAAUUGGACCAAACAACAUGGCUGCCCUUGCUGGAGCAUUAUAUGGUUUCAUGCUUUGUGUUCUUCCUGCUUAUGUUAGAAGAUGGUUUUCUGAAUUACGUGACCGUUCAAUGUCAUCUCUUAUUGAAUCAUUCACACGAUCAUGGUGCAGUCCUGCUCUGAUUGUUAAUGAACUCUCUCAGGUGUGUAUUAACAACUUGGAAAGUAAAGUUGUGCAAUUUUCUGAAGUGUUAUAUCCUGCAAAUCGGAUAAAAUUAUAAAAAAAAAGAACAGGAAAUUAUCUAUGAUUGGCACUCUUUACGUCAAGAGAAUGUAAUUUUUCAGAAUGCCAUUGUGAAUAAUUUUUUCAUUUCGUAACUUGCUAUCGUGCUUAAUACUAUGAUCCCUUGUAACUUUUAGCAACGCAAUUCUUUUUUGAUGCAGAUUAAAAAAGCCGACUUUGCUGAUGAGAUCUUUUCAGUCAGUGUGAGCAAAUCUGCCAAUGAAGUUGUUGCUACAUAUACAAAAGAAGAGACAGGAAUGGAUCUAGUUAUCCGUCUUCCUGCAGCGUAUCCACUACGUCAUGUUGAUGUUGAUUGUAUGAGAAGUCUGGGCAUAAGCGAGGUUAAGCAAAGGAAAUGGUUAAUGUCGAUGACAAUGUUUGUUCGCAAUCAGGUACAUAGUCAUGGCUAAAAGUGCUGUCUUGGCACACCAUAAAAUGCACUCUUCGCUUGUAGAAUCAGACUUUUUUUUUGGAGUAAUUGGGUUUGAUUUCAUAAAAAACCUUUGUAAGUUCAUUACAAGCUCUUUCCACACUUGACAGCUUGCAACAGUGAAAGCUGGCUUCUCUGAUAUAGAAUAUAAGAUGCGUUAGUCUUGUGUGAAGAGAAAAUUGAAUUCAGCUGCUCAUCUUAUGGCCUAUUUUGUUUCUUCUUGGAUCACUUAUUUGUAUGGACUGAUUGAUAAUCCUCCUAUUCUUUUGUUGUCUAUUCUGGAGGCUGAUAAUGCCAGAAUAGUUUAAUGAUAUCUCCAGGAAAUGAGAAUAAGUGAAUAACUCAUAGGAAAUUGAAGAUCUAUUUUAGGUCGACAAUCUCAAUUGAUGGUUAUUGAAUGUUGUUGCUGAAUGGCAACCUUUGAAACAAUUUUUAUUAGUCUGUUAUUCGAACUUCAGAUAAUCUAAUGAUAAUGGGGGUUUGGGGUGGUGUAAUGCAGAAUGGAGCUUUAGCCGGAGCAAUACGAACAUGGAAGAGCAAUUUGGAUAAAGAGUUCCAAGGUGUGGAGGAGUGCCCAAUUUGUUACAGCGUCAUCCACACAGACAACCGCAGCCUCCCUCGACUUGCUUGCCGAACUUGCAAGUACAAGUUCCAUUCAGCUUGUCUGUACAAGUGGUUCUCAACGUCUCACAAAUCUUCAUGCCCGCUCUGUCAGUCUCCCUUCUGAUGUAGAGACUCGGAGUAUAGCAAGUCUUAGGAAAUUUUGUCGCAGUUACAUUGCUGUUCUGUCAACCGUGGAAUAUCCAACAAGCUUGAUACUGUAAGUUCUCUUUCACUGCUCUGCAUGAUUUACAUUUACAGUGAAGUGUUUAGUUACCAGGCUUAUUUCACUGGUUUCAGGGCCGUUUGGCAGACUGAGCACGGCGUGGGUCAGUAAAUCUGUAUAGCAUGAUAUGGAAUCGCUUAUUGAACUGAGCUGUUGUUUUGAUAGAGCUGUACUGUUCCUGAGUAGAUUGAUGACAAUGUUGAUAACUAGUACUUGGUACUUAUCUACACUAGUAACCAAGCCACCUUAUCUUCCAAUCUACAUAUAAUUUCGUGUUUUUCUGCUCCGUUGUGCCUAGAGCUGCUUAGAGUCGCUGACGAUCCAAGCUUAGCUUUAACCAAUUCGAACAAAUAAAUUAGCAAAGCAGAUAAUUCACAGACCAACGCAGUUAUUUGAGCUCGUAAAACCACCAUCCACCACCAAAUUAUGUCCAGUGUACGUAGAUGAUUGAUGAAGAUGUGGAGGUGGUGGUUAAGGCAUGGAGUAAAGCGUUGCCGAGAGAGUCUUGGAUGUCGGCGAUCACGACUUUGGCUCCGUGUUUGGCGAAGAGCCUCACCGUUGCUUCUCCGAUCCCUCUGGCUCCGCCGGUCAUUAUCGCCACCUUUCCUUCCAACGUGUUCGUAUUAAAGUUUGUGCGUACAUUAAAAAGAAAAACUGUAGUUGAUUAAAGUAACAUUGACCGACGACUACUAUGCAUAUUAUCCUGCGGAAAAUCAUCUCCAAUCCUCGUUCGUUAACGUGCAUCAUGGAUUGGGUGGUUGACUCAAAGCUAUAAAGUCUCGGCUUAUUUAAUGGGAUAAUUUCCAACAAUUGAGUGGAUCCUUAAAUCAAUCAAAUGAAUGGAAGUGUGUGUACAACAAUAACUAUUUAGUUGAUAGGAACCCGGGACUCCUUGUAGACCUCAACUCAUGGACUUUUUUAAACAGACCGAAAACGUUACAAAGGAAAGCGAGAAACGUUGGGAUCUCCAGGUUAAAAAGCAACGAAACUAACACAUCGGUUACACUUCGAUCGCUUGAUAGUCAUUUCUAAUUAGAUAUAUAAUAAUGUACGUGGAAAAGAGUCCAUAUAGUUAGUUAACUAUUUUUUAAUUAGCACUUUUAGUGUGUUUUCUAUAAUGUAAUGUGUAUAUGAUGAGGAUAAUGAUAGAAUUUUAAAAAUAUAUGGCAUGAUUUCUGAAUUUAGUUUUUGUUUUAUAUUUGACGAUAAGCAUAUGGCAUGAAUGAGUUAGAACUUAAUAUCCGGUUUGGUCACAAAUCUAUUAGACUUGUAAUGACAUGACAUCUGACCACUAAUUUAUUAAAGUUAAAAUCAUUGUACAUUUCAUUUUUAUCAAUAUAAUAUGUUCUUAUUAUUAUAAUUCAUUUUCACUAACUCGUAUAAAGACACAUAAUAAUUUUCAAUUAUCUGAGACAAUUCUCUGAAAUAGUAAAUAUAUAUAAAAUUUAUGUAUAUAGUACCCACCUUUUCCAUAUACCGGCAAAAAAAAAGAUGAAGGGUUAAUUGUUGUAUUGUUUUUUAUAAACGAAUAAAAUUGAUGUUGGCAACUAAUAUAUAUUAUUCGCUUUAAGUCAAGUCCUACGCAUAUAUUUUUUAUUUCCUUUCUUUUUACCUUCUAACCAAGGCUCCCGUAUUAAUUUAUUUUUGAAUUUCCUUUAAAAUAUACCCCAUACUAAUUUAGUUGGUGAGUACUUUUAAGCCAAACAAUUUUUUUCUUGUUUAUCAAUAUGAUAUUUGGGUUAUUUUUCCAAUAAUAAUUAUAUUAUUUCAGUUAAUUUAGACAAUUAAAUAAUAUGAAGAUUGAAUGGUCUAGAUUGAUCUGAUCCCAUCCAAUAGAAUGGAUCUGCUUAAUCCAGAACCAGAGUCCCGUUGGAACGGCAUCCAUUUCCCCUGUUACUGUUUCGCCUCUGUACUUGGCUUUCGGAGCUUUAUUAUCAGCUGCCAUGGAAUGAAAUUGGAUUGCGCGUUCUUUCUACUUUGUUCUUAGCACCGAAUGAAUACUACAGUCAAGUCAUUGUUUAAUGCCAUUACAGGCGGACUGGAUCUCGAUCUCGAAACCCAUACUUGUAAAAUUGUAAGACGACUUUCGGGCUACAAUUUUAAGACGACUUCUGACAAUUCAUUCAGUCAUUGUUUAUGCAGAAAUGGGUUGGUGACAUCUAACUAUCUACUCUUUCUUAAUCUGCUCUAUAUGUAACCAAGAGAGCAAAUCUCAUAGGCAUAGCAAAUUGCUUAGCUAAACAAUAACCCAACAAAAAUGGCGCCCUUCGAUUUCAAGUCCAACAAUCACUUUGUUGCUUCCUCCGACGGAACUACUCUUCAAGUCCACGAGUUGACUGCCAAUCAUAUGGUUCAUCCUCUUUCCAUCCGUAAGGCUCAUUGGAAGCAAGUUGCCAACAUCAAUACGAUCAGCCUCGAAGAUGACCCGGAUGAGCAAAUCUCUUAUGAUGGGCUGCUGUUCUUCGAUGGUUAUGGCAGAAUCGAGGGAACCAAAGAGUUGACCAUGCUAGCCCAGCAUCUGAAGCGCCUACGCUUGUUGGUCAACCCUGAAGGUUACUGUUUUCAGGAAUCAGUGGAGCUUGCGGAUUAUGCAGAUUUCGGGAUUCACUAUCUUCGACUCAAUGAUCUGUUCAGCUGGCCCCAUCAUGGGGUUCAUUUGGCAACGACCUCCUUGUGGAGCCGGUCGGAGUUGAAAUAUCAGAUGCCGAAACCGAAGCCAACGACGACUGCUGAUGAUCAUCAUGGUCAUGGGAUUAAUUACUUGCAGAAGAAGUUAGAGGAAUUGAAAAGGCUGUUGAAAGAGAAAGAGGAUGAGCUGGAGAAGGCGGAUGAGGUGAAGGAUGAAGAAUUGGAGAAGUUAAGGAAGGAGAAAGAUGAAGAGAUAAGAGUGGUGAGGAAGAAGAAGGAUGAUGAGAAGGUUAAAGCAAGAAAAGCAGAGGAAGCUCUGGAGAAGCUGAAAGUUGAAAUGGAGGAUUCGAAAGAGUCGAAAGAUGAAGAGAUGGAACAGUUGAGAAAGCAGUUGAAAAGGAAGGAUGAAGAAAUGAGGAUUCUUAAAAGGGAGAAGGAUAAAUAUAAGGAAACAAAUGCGAAGAGGAUCGAGGAACUCGAGAAGCUGAAAGAGGAGAUGGAGGAUGCGAACGAGGAGCUGCGAAGGAUUCUAAAAGUUCACGAGCAAAAUGGCAAAGUGGAUGUAAAAUCAGCUAGGAAGAUUGCAGAACUGGAGAAGCAGAAGAAUGAGGAGUUGGAGAGGAUAACACGAGAGAAAAAUGACGAAAUUGCACGAAUCAAGAAAGACUAUUUAGAUGAAAAGUCUAAACUGCAAAAUAUAAUUCAAGAGAACAACGAGGAGCUCAAAAAAAUAACUCAAGAGAAGAAUGCGGAGGUGGAGAGGAUAACACGGGAGAAAAAUAAGGAGAUGGAGAGGAUAACACGAGAGAAAAAUGACGAAAUUGCACGAAUCAAGAAAGACUACAUGGAGGAGAAUUCUAAGCUGCAAAAGAUAAUUCAAAAGAACAACGAGGAUCUCAAAAAGAUAACUCAAGAGAAGAAUGAGGAGCUGCAGACGAUAACUCGAGAGCGAAAUGAUGAAAUUGCACAUAACAAAAAAAAUUUGGAGGAGCAGAGUUUUAAGUUGGAGAAGAUAAUUCAAGAAAAAAAUAAGGAGUUGCAGACGAUAACUCAAGAGAAAAAUGAUGAAAUUGCACAUAUUAAGAAAAAUUUGAAGGAGCAAGGUUCUAAGUUGGAGAAGAUAGUUCAAGAGAAGAAUGAGGAAAUGCAAAAAAUAACUCGAGAAAAAAAUAAUGAAAUUGCACGCAUCAAAAAAAAUUUGGAGGAGCAGAGUUCCAAGUUGGAGAAGAUAAUUGAAAAAAAGAAUGAAGAGCUACAGAAGAUAAUUCAAGAAAAAAAUGAUGAAAUUACAAGAAUCAAAAAAAAUUUGGAUGAGCAGGAUUUUAAACUACAGAAAAUAACUCGAGAGAAGAAUGAUGAAAUUGCAAAAGUCAAGAAAGAUAUGGAAGAGCAGUGUUCCAAACUUCAAAAGAUAACCCGAGAAAAAAAUGAGGAGCUGCAGAAGAUAACUCGAGAGAAGAAUGAUGAAAUUGCACGCAUAAAAAAAGACUUGGAGCAGUCUUCUACAAGUUCAUGGGCUAUUUUGCCUUCGAUUAGGUACCUUCCGAAGAGCUCAGAAGGUGAAAGGGUACAUUUUACGAGAAGGCGACAGGUUCCGCCUGAAACGUUUGUCUAUACCGAACAAUCGUAUGAUUUUAUCAGCUGUAAUAUGCCGAGAAUAGAGCCUAGUCUCAACGUUUUCAACAAUGCCCAGUUCGUCGACGAGGAGAAUACAGGGUGGCCUAUCCCGACUUCUACAUAUGUAUUUAUCGGCAAGAACAACAGAGGGUUCGAUAAGAACAACUGGUGGUUUGCCAAGACUACCCACCCUGAAGGCGGAUUGACAAUGCUGGCUUAUUACGAUGGCAAUUUCUCUCAAUUCAGUUCCGGUCCUGACCGUAUAAUUCGAUUGCCGUUUCUGAAAGAUGCUACCCUUGGACCUUAUAAGCCGUUCUUCCUGCUCGAUGUGCAUUCGUUAGGGGUGAAGUUGGCUUUCAUGUAUAGGGUUUAGUUAAGAACGUUCUUUCACUUUGUUGAGUUUGUUGUUCUGUGUUUGUUGUUCUGUGUUUGUUGUUCUGUGUUUGUUGAGGAAGAUGUGUGUAGUGUGUUUCAUUCACCAACCAUGAUGUUGCAGCCCCAUACAUACUGAUAGUUGCAGAAGCUAGUUCCUUUCAAAAUGUGGAAUUUUGAGGUGGUGAUAUUAUUCGAAAUUGAAAUUGUAACGGUCGUAGAAAUGAAUAUAUUAUCAACAACUUCAGUCUAUAUUAAACCGUUGAUAGUUUCUCCGAAUGAGGUUAAGUAUGAAAUGUGACAUCGUGUAAAAGCCACCAACAAAAAUCGUACGAAAAUUCAUAUUAAAGGUCGGUCAGAUUUUCUAGCCUCCGAAUCUCAAAAGUAAACCGUAAACACUAUACUAAAACUACAAAAUUCUUAAUUCUAAAUCCAAUACAAUUUUAUUUAUAUAAAAAAGAAAAUAAAUUAUUAUUAAGUAAAUAGUAUUUGGUUUUUUUAUAAAAUNNNNNNNNNNNNNNNNNNNNNNNNNNNNNNNNNNNNNNNNNNNNNNNNNNNNNNNNNNNNNNNNNNNNNNNNNNNNNNNNNNNNNNNNNNNNNNNNNNNNNNNNNNNNNNNNNNNNNNNNNNNNNNNNNNNNNNNNNNNNNNNNNNNNNNNNNNNNNNNNNNNNNNNNNNNNNNNNNNNNNNNNNNNNNNNNNNNNNNNNNNNNNNNNNNNNNNNNNNNNNNNNNNNNNNNNNNNNNNNNNNNNNNNNNNNNNNNNNNNNNNNNNNNNNNNAUGAUAAAACCUCAAUUUUUAGUCAUUUCCAACAUGCAUGAUAAAUAUUAGCCAAUAUGAAAAUUUUCAAUUUUCAUGUCGAAAUUGGUCAAUUUCCGUGUGUUAUACUAUGAAAAUCUGACCAUUUUCACAAGAAAAUUUCCAAACUUCCAAAUCGACUAAUAUUUGACAUGCAUGUUGAAAAUGGCUAAAAAAUCAAGUUUCACUUUGAUAACCUUUAUAAAUAAUGAUCAAAUAAAGUUAAACAUCAAUUUUACUUUGUGUUAUAUUAGUGUUAAAAUUUUACAAAUUGGCUUACGUUUUACAUGUUGAGCCGUCAUUACAUGAAUUGAGUUUUUUUAACUUCGGCCAUAUACAAUUUUGUGGAAACCAAAAUAUUUUAUCAUACAUUUCAAACACACAAACAAUAACAAAAUACACAAAUCUAUAUAUAUGCAAUCAACCCCGCAAUAAAAAAAUAUAAUUGAGUGUAUAGUAUACGGACACUAAAAAAAUCGGCAAUUACACCGUAUACAUUUGGUACUCAUAUUUUACUUUCUACGCACAUGCCGAUUACAUUACACUGCAAUGGGUGGUAACACACGUAAGGUGGUGCGUAAACUCGUACGCAAGGGAAAUAUACUAAUCAAUCAUACGUGGAAAUUAAACGCAGUGCUUGUUUAAUGUCAUUACAGUCGCCGACUGGAUCUCGAAAACCCAUACUUCAAAAAUUGAAAGGCGACUUUUGGGUUGCAAUUUUAAGACGACUUCUGACUGGAAUUGAAGAGGCUAUUGAAAGAGAAAGAGGAGGAACUCGAGAAGGCGGAUGAGGCGAAAGAUGAAGAAUUGGGGAAGUUGAAGAAGGGGAAAGAUGAAGAGAUAAGAGUGGCGAGGAAGAAGAAGGAUGGAGAGAAGGCAAAGGUUAGGAAAACAGAGGAAACUUUGGAGAAGCUGAAAGUGGAGAUGGAGGAUGCGAAGGAGGAGCUGCAGAGGAUUCUACGUGAGCAAAAUGGCAGAGUGCAUAUACAAUCAGCAAGAAGGAUUGAAGAACUAGAGAAAGAAAAGGAUGAAGAGCUACAGAAGAUAAUUCGAGAGAAAGAUGAGAAACUGUAGAAGAUAAUUGGAAAUAAAAAUAAUGAAAUUGCAAGAAACGAAAAAGAUUUGGAGGUGCAAGCUAGUUUUAAGAUGGAGAAGAUAACUCGAUAAAAAAUGAGGUGUUACAAAAGAUCACUCGAGAUAAAAAUAAUGAAAUUAUCGGAAUUAAGAAAGAUUUGGAGGAGCAUGGUUGUAAGUUGGAGAAGAUAACUCGAGAGAAGAAUGAGGAGAUGUAGACGAUAAUUCGAGAGAAAAAUGAAAAAAUUGCACAUAUAAAAAAAGAUUUGGAGGAGCGGGGUUCUAAAUUAGAGAAGAUAACUUGAAAGAAAAAUAAGGAGCUAUAGACGAUAAUUCGAAAGAAAAAUUAUGAAAUUGCACGCAUCAAAAAGAUUUGGAGGAACGGGGUUCUAAAAUGGAGAAGAUAACUUGAAAGAAAAAUGAGGAGUUAUAGAUGAUAACUCGAGAGAAAAAUGAUGAAAUUACACGUAUCAAAAAAAAAACUGAAGGAGCAAGGUUUUAAGUUGUAGAAGAUAACUCUAUAGAAAAAUGAGGAACUGUUGAAAAUGACUCGAGAGAAGAGUGAUGAAAUUACAAGAAUAAAAAAAGAUUUGGAGGAGAAAAGUUCUAAACUACAAAAGAUAAUUCGAGAAAAGAAUGAGGAGGGUGUGGAAGAUAACUCGAGAGAAGAAUGAUGAUAUUGCACGCAUCAAGAAAGAUUUGGAGCAGUGUUCUAAAAGUUCAUGAGCUAUUUUGCCAUCGGUUAAAUACCUUCCGAUGGGUUUAGAAGGUGAAAGGCUAUACCUAUCUAGAAGGCAAUGGGUUCUGCCUGAAACGUUUUGUCUAUACCGAACAUUCGUAUGAUUUCAUCAAUUGUAAUAUGCCGAUAAUAGAGCCUAAUUUCAACAUUUUCAACCUUGCCCAAUUCGUCAACGAGGAGAGUACAGGGUGGUCUAGCCCGGCUUCUAACAUUGUAUAUAUCGGCAAGAACAACAGAGGGUUCAAUAAGAACAACUGAUGGUUUGCCAAGACUGACCACCCUGAAGACGGAUUGACGAUGUUGGCUUACUACAACGGUAGUUUUUUGCAGUUUAGUUCAACAUAUUACGAUACAAUUCGGUUGUCCUUUCUGAAAGAUGCUACCCUUAUACCUUUUCAGCCGUUCUUCCUACUCAAAGUUCAUUCGUUAAGGGUGAAGUUGGCUUUCAUGUUUAGGAAUUAGAUGAGAGCAUUAUUUCCUAUUGUGCGUGGCUUUCAUAGGAUGUUUGAUUUUUUGAGGUUGUUGUUCUGUGUUUGUAGAUGUCUUGAUGAUGUGUUCUCAUUUUUAUGUGUUUCAUUCACGAAUGUACUGAUAGUUCGAGAAGUUAGUGUAUUGCGAAAAGUUAUAUAAUUUCUUAUAAAAAUGUGUAAUUCUGUAUCGCGUCAGAUUAAAAUCGUAAUGGGAUAGAAACAAACAUCAAGUGAGAAUCACUAUUAAAUAUGUUACGAAAACAGAUAAGAAAAUAGAUUGAUCGGAAUAUAUAUAUAUAUAUAUGGUUUUCACACGCUGACUAGGUAUGUCAACUUCAUCACUAAUAACACAACAAUUAAACAUCCAUCCAAGAAAAUUAAUAAGCAUAAGAAAGUACAAGGAGAAGGGUAUUACAAUUUACAUGUGAUGGUUAAUUAUCGGCUUAUCAUCCUUGAUUAUACUCUUCUUUUUUCGCGUUCGUACAAGACGAUUAUUCCAGUCUUUCGUAUAUAACUUGGGAAACAUCCAGACGAGCAAAUAGUCAACCUUUGGCCAAUACCAAAUCCGGAAACUCGACCAUAUCGCAGCUGGUAACAUAAGAGCGCCUAAGCCAAAAACAUAUCCAAAUGCCAUGCUUAAGAGGUCCCAAUCAACUCUUGAAGAAUGAUUCUCAUGGCUAAUUGUGGCAUCUCCAUGAACUGGUGAACUUGGAGUGCAAUUUUUCGUUAAAGGUAUCCCACACAAAUCUGGGUUAGCUCCAAAUGAAGUGUUGUCAAAUGUUUGAAACUGAUUGCCAGUUGGGAUUCUCCCGACUAGAUUGUUAUCCGAUAGGUUGAGGACUUCGAGGAAUUUCAUUCCUGUUAACUCAUCUGGGAUAUGUCCUUUGAGCUUGUUAUGAGAGAGAUCUAGAGACUCCAUGUUUGACAGAUCACCAAAAGCUGAUGGGAUAUUACCAGUAAAAGCAUUGUGGGAUAGAUUGAGGACCUGAACUGCUCUGAAUUUUCCCAUGACUUCUGGUAUUUUUCCAUCGAAAUUGUUGCUUGAAAAGUCCAUGGACUUGAAUACCUUUAGGAUCUUCACAAUUUCCCGUUGGAGGCCCUUGCUGCUAACAGUUAUGGAAUUUUCAUAAUCAGUGCUGUUAACGGAUUCAUAUUUGAGGUGAUCGUGCAGUCCCUCUGCACCUAUCAUCAUGUUUUCCCAGGUAGCCAAGUAUUUGGCAUUCAAGGGACCUGAAAAAUUGUUGAUUGCGAAGUCUACAAUCUGAAGCUUUUUCCAAGUACCGGGAAAAUGUGGACACCCAAUGCUCCCAUGGAAGAGGUUGUUUCGCAAGAUAAGAACACGCAAGUUGGGUCUGUUUCUUUGAAGACAAGGAAAGACAUCUGAUAUUCUGUUGUUUCCAAUGUCCAAAACUUCUAAUUCCGUGCAAUUCUCCAAGGACUUUGGAAUCUUUCCCACUAAUUGGUUCCCACUGAGGUCAAGAGUCUUUAAGGAACAAGAAGUUUGGAAUGUAUCCGGUAUCCCGCCACUAAGAUUAUUACCCCUCAAAUUUAGGAUAGCAAGCCAUUUGUUUCCUACUAAACAACCUGGAAUGGUGCCAUUCAAAUUAUUGUUUGAGAAAUCAAGGACUUCUUCGAGAUCCAUGCAAAUACUUGCAGGAAUAGCUCCUCUGAGGCGAUUGUUGGAUAAUGAAAAGAAGUUAGCGUUCGUUAGGUAAGUUCGAGCUUUAUUUGUAGUUGGAAUGGAACCAUUGAAAAGAUUGUAAGAAUAAUCAAUGUGAAAGGGUGAUGAUUGUAUGAUCGGAAUAUCACCUUGGAAUUGAUUGUCAUGUAUGUCCAAGAUAAAAAGACUAGGAAGAGAAACAGAUUGUAGCUGGAGACCCACUAGAUAGUUGUGAGAAAGAUUUAGAUAGAAAAGGCUUGUGGAUUCUAGAAUCCAACGAGGCACUACCCCAUUGAUGUUGUUGGCUGAAAGAUCUAGAUAUGUUAGCGAUGAUUGGCUUCCCAGCUCAGGAAAUGCCCUCAUAUUGCAGGAUGCCAUACGCAAGGUCUCAAACUGUGGAAUGAUGGAUAUAGUAGACUUGUUGUUGCCACUUAUGUCCACGGUCACGUUGUUGUAUGAAAGAUCAAGGUUGGUGAGAUUUUGCAACCUCUGAAUCCAACUGAAUUGUACACUUCCACUGAACUUAUUAUAAUGAAGAUAGAGGACUCGAAUUGUUGAAAGUGUAAAAAAUGAAUGAGGGAUCGGACCUUGUAGAUUAUUGUUGCUCAAAUCCAAAAAUUCUACAGCGAGAGAGGAAGCAAGGUUCGGAAACUCAGGAGCCUUACCUCGAAGUUGGUUAAAUGAGAGAUUAAUAUGCUCCAAGUAUGGACUAGCAAAUAAAGAUGGAGGGAUGGUUUCGUUGAAAGAAUUCUUGCUCAAGUCAGCAUAGACAAGUUUUUCAAAACUUUCCGAGUGACUUGGUAUAUAACCUGCUAGCUGGUUGUGAGAUAAGUCUACAUGCACGAGAUUCUUGAACAAGUCCAGUGAUAGAAGUAGACCUGUGAAAUUAUUGUAUGAGAAAUCCAGAUACUCCAGUUGAGUGAGUUUUUCGAACGUCUUUGGAACCAUUCCACUGAAACGACUUUGUGCAAGCUCUAUAUGGGAUAACUUGCCAAGGUUUCCCACUGAUGGGGGCAACACACCUGAGAAGUUUGUGUAACUCAGUAUCAGGGUCUUCAUACAGUGAUUCUGAGGGAAGUCUGGAAAAACCCCUUCAAGACGUUCAUUAUAAGACAAGUCGAGAACCUCCAAGCUUGGAAUUUGGAGUAUCUUUGCAGGAAAUGUUCCUUUCAACCCGCAAUCUCUCAUAGUCAGGCUAGUCAAGUUUCUGAAAUAUGCAAAUGAUUCCGGAACUGGUGAAGAGAAGUCGUUGUAAUCCAAUUGAACUACCGAUAGAUGUUGAAGCUUUGAGAGGGAAGGAUCGAGAGGGCCUGGCAGGAGACAAUUGGACAUGCUUAACACUUCGAGAUUCGGCAAUGAAGAAGAUAAGGCCUCACACCACUGGUUCCCCUGGUGAUGAUCAUAUAUGGUCACAAGAUCAAGUCGGAGAUCAACCAGCCGUGUCAAAUUUUCAACGAGUUCACCAAGAUUUGGGUAUUGGAGUUCUAGGCUCAUAGGAAUUGGAUACACAUUAGAAGUAGUUCCAUCCUGGAAUGAUAAAUCAAGAACCAUAAAUUCAUCCUGGAAUGACAAAUCAAGGCUAACCAAGCUUGUCAUCCGAGAUAUGCUAGCAGGAACUUGCCCAAAGAAGCCAGACCUGGAUAAAUUCAGAUAUCUCAAACUUGUGAGGUUGGCAAGGUCAUUUGGAACAUUUGUAUUGAAGUAGUUGUUAGAUAAAUCCAGGGACUGAAGAUACUGAAGGCUAAACAGAGCUUUGGAAUCAUCAAGUCCUCCGGUGAUGAAUUCGUUGCUCAAGUCGAGGUCGAUAACAUGACCAAAGCCACCAUGACCGCAAGUAAUGCCGGGCCAGUUACAGCAGUCAGUACUGGCAUUCCACUUGGCCAAUUUUGCAGAGUAUGAUUGGUCGAAAAUGAGGCCUUGUUUGAAUUGGAGCAGAAGCGAAUGUUGGUCACCCUGACAUCGGCCUGACACCAAGCUGACAAGGCUUCCAACUAGGAUCACUAUUGAGAGUGCGAGUAGGUGAAGUUUCAUUGUGGAGAAACUUGAAAGGAAAGAGCUUGAUUGUUGUUUUUCUGAAUAUGGUUGGUGUGUGUAGAGAUGAACUAAUGGGCGGGAGUUUAAGUAGAGAAGCUAAAGGGGAAGAUGUUCAAUUAAUAGUGAGUGCAAUGAAGUCAAGCAGGGAAGUAAACGCUAUGCAUUGAUUGGGGUUACUGUCUUGUUAAUUAUUCCACAGAUACGCGUUUUGGCUUUGGAUCACUGCAAACUCUUGACUUGUGACUUGUGAUUUUUACAAAGUCCUGCAAUCUCCAUCACGCCAUUAAAACUAUCAGUAGCGGUUCAAGAAGUUUGCAUCAUAGUGAUCAAAGAAACCACCAAUUAAAGAAUAACACGAGGCGAUGAACCAAAAGAAAAACACAAACUAAUUGAAGAAGAUCAUAUUCUAUGUUUCUAUUUUCAUAUGAAAUCAAUUGUUUCUAGCGUUUUGUUCCGCCCAAGAUGUUGUUGGUGUUGCAUGCUUCGAAGCUCAUAGAGAUAAUCAGGUUGAUACAGCGGGUUUAAUUGGAUGUGUUAGAGAAUAGUAUAAGAUCCAUUAUUAACCCUCUCUCAACAAUUCUAAUUAUUGAGAUGUAACGAUUCAUAACAGGAUGCAUGCCAAAGUCAUUAGCUCGAAUCCAACUCUAAAUCUCCAUCCUUUGGAAGAAAAUCGUUUUAAGCAGUAAGUAAGGCAAAACUUUGAACUCCUGUUUUCCUUCCAUGCUGCUAUGUCACAUGUAAAAUCACUAGCUUUGCUAUAUAGCAUUCUUUCAUUAGUUUGAUAUAUUGAUGAUUCCCCUACAAACGACAGCCCAGCCACACAUUCAACUGUAGUUACCUUGCCAUUUUCGUCAAUUAUUGGCAGUGAUGGUUGCCUUGCAAUUUCCAUUUGCCUCAAUCCACCUUCAGUAAUCUUUAAACCCUAUAUCUCAUCGUGAACAGUAUAUUACAGUAAAAUCGCCUACCUUUUUUGUUCUUAACAACAAUUAGACUGACAUCGUUUAGGAAACCAUGUAAACAUAAUAAAAAUUAAGUUCUGUUAAAACUAUAGGGAUGAAAUGCUCCUCCAGUUGGCCUUGUUGGCUGUUAAUAGUAAAUGUGACAGGUUUCUAAUAGUUUAGUGGUAUAUAAUGUAUUGAAGUCAACAUGUUCAAGAGAUGGAAAUGUUAGACCAUCAACAAAGAUGUCGCAAGUUCAACAAAAUAGCAAAAGAAACCAACAUGUAAUGGAUGCAGAGUAAAUUACCUGGACAUUAGCAAAGUGAAGACCUGUAAUCAAUACUGGGAAUAUGGAGCCUAGAAGACCAUGCGGAAACUAAGUCAAGUUCUGGAACCACAAAGCACCGCCCUGUUCAAGCACACGCAAGGCUUACUUCAAUGAGACUGGGUCAAAAGAACCAAAUCACCAUCAUGGCUUUGUUAAGAUAUUAUCCAGUAUCCCCAGUAGUUUUUCCAAUCUAAUUUUAUGAUUGAUUGUUUUUAAGCAAGGUUUAGACCUCUACUUGGUUUGGAUUACUUUCAUCCACCCUUUACCAUUUUAUAUACUAUGUAGUUGCUCUAGCAUACUCCAAAAUUUCCAACAAUUAGCAUCACAGAGAUACAAGAAGUCGUAAAGUAUACUGGGUGAUGAUCAAGAGACAUUCUUCGUAUACUGGUUACUGCCAAGAGAAAACAUGGAACCUGAAAUAAUUUGGAACAUAUAGCUCAGGCACUAUCUCAUCCCUUAAUCAAACAAAACAAAAGGAGUGUACUGAAUAUACAAUAGAACAUAACAAGGAGAUAAAUAUGAGCUUCUAUAUUCACUUGGUUGCACUAUCAAUAUGCGACACUCACUGUACGCAAGCAUGCUGAGCAGACAGCUGAUCCUCGCUAUUUAGAAACGUAACUUUGAGGUCAUCUAAUAGUCAAACUAUAGACUGAACCCAUAGUUCUUUUGGUUUUUCCUUUAUGGUAUUAGAAUUACAUCAAAGAACCACAACUGAAUCCUGCUGAGACAGGAGUUCUGCUAAACGUAGGAAAAAUCUUUUACCACCAGGGACAGUAGUAAUAUGAGUCUGACUCGUUCUGAGUCAAUGGUAAGGAAACAGAACAUGAAAAUGUUCACAACAGCGUCAAGAAUGAUAAAUCAGCAUACUGGAUUACGAAAUGGUUUAUAAGGUAGCCGACUAAUGAUCGUCGACUGCUAAUUAGCUCGUCUUUCGUUUUAAGCCGUCGCGGAUCAGUUCAGAACGGCGCGGCGGCGCGGCAACGGACUAACUAUCUUCUCUUUGUAUUGGGCUUCUCCUGCCCAAGCCCAGCACCCAUACAGCAAGCGUACCUUGGCCUCGGGCUCAAUAGGCCCAGAUAUAUGAGAAGUGCUGUUUCUUCUCUUUUACCGCUAGCUACACUACUAGCUGGUCUUUCGUCGCACCGCUUUGCAGAAGCAGCUGAACGGAAACCUCCGUCUUCUUUUUCCUCUUCCUCUUCUCAGAACAGUCAAGAUGCUAACGGCUGAUAUUCCGCCCAAUCAAACUAUCUACAUUAAAAACCUCAACGAGAAGGUCAAGAAAGAAGGUAUUAUUAUCUCUCAUUUACUCGUCCGCUGCCUCGCUGUUCUCUAAUGAAUAAUACUUGUACUUUGAACCCUAAAUCUCAUGGUCGUGGUUCAUGGCUUUUGGUUCGUUCACCAUUGUUGAGAAAUUUCAAUACUAGUCGGAGCGUAGUUGCUUUAGUUGCUUCGUUAGUCCAAGCUAUGAGUUGUAGGGGAGUUGUGAACAUAAUCUUGAACCCUUUGUUGGAGUUGUUGACUUGUUGCCGUUGUUUUAUAUGCCGCCCUUGAACUCUACCUCAGUUUCCCCGCUGGCCGAAGAUGGCAGCUAUUCUAUGUAGCUCAGUUUGAAUGUGAAGCGGCGUGUCCUAGUUUGGUGACCUAAUUGCCUGAUCUAAAUCAGAAUCUUGAGUGUACCUAUUUUCCUGAAUCCUAGUGAAAGGAUUUCUCUUUUGCAUAUUUGUAAACAGUCUGCCGGCUUCUGAUCUCGUUGUCUUUUAUGAUCCUUGUCCUUGAAACUUGAAAGUAUGUUUUGCCUGACACUUGUUGAGACCACUGGGAAGUAAAUUUCAACUUUCAGUAGGUUACAUAUUCUUUUUUGCAUGAACUUUUUUACUGGUUUUAUGGUGUUCUAGCCCUUUUCAUCUUUCACUGCAUUUAUCUUCUUCUUUUUCAGAAUUGAGAAGAUCGCUUUACUGUUUGUUUUCUCAAUAUGGAAGGAUUCUGGAUGUUGUUGCCUUGAAGACGGCCAAACUCAGAGGUCAGGCAUGGGUUUGCUUCAGUGAAGUGACAGCUGCAAGUAACGCAGUUCGGCAAAUGCAAGGUUUUCCUUUCUAUGAAAAACCCAUGGUACGUCGUAGUAUAUUUGGUUAGGAUCUGGUGUCUAUGUUGUUCCAAAUGAGUCUUCUGACUUUCUGAGAAGGAAAGAAAGUAAACAAAGAAAAAUUAUCUGUGCUGAGGCCUGAGGUGGUCAGUCUAACUAUAUUGUUGAAAUAGAAGUUGCUCGGGCGUACAGGGUUAAGUAUUAGGGUUUUUUGCUGAUAAAAAACUUACCCUGGGAAGGAGCUUCUCAUUCAUAUGAAUAUGAUCAUAUAGUCUCUUUUCAAAGUGACUACUCGAGCCACUUUCCGUUGUUGUAACUUAUAUUUGGGGUUGGAGAAAAGAAAAUUCAUAUAUGCAUUUUUGUUAUCUAUUCUGGUUUUAGAUAUAUCAUUGGCAUCAUUGAAAAUCAGAAACCAUGCUUACAACUAGUCAAUACUACAGAGCUCAAUGGACAUUUUAUACUUUUUUGUUAUAGAUUAUACAGCUCUGCUGUCAUUUACAUAGCAAGAAUAGAAAUUUGAUGGUUCUAGGACCUUGGUUUGAUGCAGCGCAUCCAAUAUGCAAAAACAAAGUCAGACUGCCUCGUAGAGGCAGAAGGAGUCUAUGAUCCAAAUGCAAAGAAGAAGAAAAAGCAGGAAGAGAAAGGUGAUUAACAAAAUCUUGUACUUUCUAGUCAGUUAUCAUAUGCAGUGUUACUACUUACAGCAUUUGACCUUUGAACUUUUAUGCAAAUCAUGUUACAUGCAUUCAUGCCUACAGCUGAAAAGAAAAGACGUGCUGAAGAAGCUCAUCAAUCUGCCCCAGCUAAUGGCGCAUCUGCUGACAAUAACAGAGCUCAUGUAAGUUGGAACUUCAUUCAUAACAUGAAGUUAUUCUGGCGUUACCUUAGACAUUAAUGAUAUUACAAUCUGGUGAAUGCUUGCUGAUGAUAUUAUGGGUUCCUCUGGAUAAUAGUCGCAGGCUCCUUUCCGCCAAGGAAGCAGUGGCGGUGAUCAAGAAGCAAUUCCUCCGAACAACAUUCUGUUCAUCCAGAAUCUGCCGCACGGAACCACGAGCAUGAUGCUGCACGUGCUCUUCCAACAGUACCCUGGGUUCAAGGAAGUCCGGAUGGUGGAAGCCAAGCCGGGGAUCGCAUUCGUGGAGUUUGAAGACGAUGUGCAGUCAUCCAUGGCGAUGCAGGCACUUCAAGGCUUCAAGAUUACUCCUCAAAACCCCAUGGCUAUCAGUUUUGCCAAGAAGUAGAUGAUGGAUGACACAUCGUAUGGUUUGACUAUUAUUGUACUGUAUGAAUUAGAGUAAACCAGGGCCAGAUAAAAGUCAAUAUUUCAGGCAAAGUUUAAACUGUGGAGUUGUUGAUUCAAUCAAUGUAUUGGAAGAGGAAUUUAAGUGAUGUCACAUUUCUGGAUCAAAUAUAGUCCGAGUUAUGGCGAGUUUUUCAGUUGCAACUUUUUACCAGCAACAUGUUCAAUGGUUUCAAAGACGCCGCCUGAGAAUUUUCAUGGACAAUUACGUACACGUGUAUAGCAUGCACGGUGGACAGCAAAUCUAAAGCACUACCAGGUUUCAAUGGCUAUAUACUCUGUUAGUAGACGGGUACAUUGUCUUGUUAGUAGAUGGUUGCUGAAUCAGAAAUUCCACCUCCUGCUCCCGGAAGGAUUCGUAUCACGGAUCAAGGAAUCCGGAUUGGGAAUCAUAUUCUCGGCGUGGGCAAUUGAGAAUCCUGGAUCAUGAAUCUGUGGGCGGAUUCCUGACGCACUGCGGUGGAGCUCUGUAAUAGAAGCGCUUCGGUUCGGGGUGCCAUUGAUAAUACUGCCAGUACAUGUGCCGGGUCAGGGGAUUAACGCGAGGGUAAUGUCGGAGAAGGUCUAUCUUAUCUACUGCCUUGCUCCUUGGCUCCCUACAGCUCCAGCCGCUCGCUGUAAUAGCUUGCUUCUCGGGUGGCUCGCACCCGGGGUGGUGCGGCUAAGCCAGAGGGACAUGUUCCUAAGGAGAAAGCCUUUGCAACCGAAGUGAGUCGAGGAGCCUAGUGACGUGCCAGCGCUACUAAUUGAGUGCCAGCACGUAGCUGUGCUGUCAGUAAGAAAGGAGAAAUUCCGAGGAAUGAUGACGACGGGGCUUUCGUGAGAAGAGAUGUGGCGGAGACGAUGAAGCUGGUGGUGGCGGAGAAAGAAGGACAGAGGUUUAGAGACAGAGCGGCGGAGGAGAGGGAGAAGCUGUUUGAGAAUCCAGUGAUUUACGAUCGUUGCUUUGCCGAGUUCGCGAGGGUUCUUAAGAGCACCGGCGCAUGUCCAUAAUUCGCAUUACAUUUUUCGGGAAAAUGGUCUUGUAAUUUGCCGACGUGGCAAUCGGUCCUGACCUGGCAGUUGAGUCGACAUCUAGUCAGUUUAAAUAAUAAUUAAACAUAAACUUAGAUUUCUGAAAAUUUGUUAAAUAAAUUAAAAUAUAAAAAUUGUUUCGUAGCUCCCUUCUACAGUCUAGACAGAGCAGAGGAUGACAAUCAUCCGUUCUGGUAAGGAUAAUGUUAGUGAUACGAAUAUGUAGUAGUGUUCACUUCAGAGCAACAUUUCACUGAACGCCCAACAAAACCGAAAACUCCAACACCAUAUCAAUGGCGGACGACGAAAUCCACAAGAAGCUCCACAUCGCAGUCUUCCCAUGGCUAGCAUUCGGUCACAUGAUUCCAUUCCUAGAGCUCUCCAAGCUCUUAGCCCAAGAAGGCCACUCGAUUUCCUACAUCUCAACACCACGUAACAUCAACCGUCUCCCCCAAUUCCCUGCUCAUCUCACUCACCUCUUUAACUUCGUCCGGAUUCCUCUCCCCGCCGGCGAUGGGAACCUCCCCGACGGAGCUGAAUCGACCUCCGAUCUCCCCCAGCACCUUGUCCCUUACCUCAAGCUCGCAUACGACGCUCUCGAACCGGAGCUGACCCAAUUCCUCGAGACCGAACGACCUGACUGGGUAAUUUACGAUUUCGCCCCUCACUGGCUCCCGCCCACAGCAGACCAGAUCCGCGGUAUCCGAUAGCAGCUAAGCUCGGCGUUUCCACCGUCUACUUCUCCAUCGUCUGGGCCGCCACGUGGUGCUUCUUCGCGCCGUCGUCCUCGACUGACGAUAGUGAAGUUUCUAGGAUGAAUCCGGUGGAUUUCACCGUACCUCCGAAAUGGAUCCCGUUCCCUUCCAACCUAGCGUAUCGUCUCCACGAAGCUAAGCGGCUUCUCGAGCCAAUGAAAUCGGCUCCUCCACAGCACGUCUCCGAUUUUGAACGAACAAGCUCCACCACAGCUGGAUGCGACGCCGUAGCGAUCCGAUCCUGUCCGGAUCUCGAAUCUGAUUGGCUCGACCUCGCGAGACAGCUCUACGGGAAGCCGUUUAUUCCAAUCGGCCUCCUCCCUCCACCUCCAGAUCCACGUUUCGUCGCCGACGAAACCUGGCUCGAAAUCUCGGAGUGGCUGAACAAGCAGGAGAAGGCAACGGUCGUGUAUGUUGCGUUCGGUACCGAAGUAGCCCUAACAAAAGACGAAAUUACAGAGCUAGCUCUAGGUCUCGAAUCCUCCGAGAUCCCGUUUGUAUGGGUACUGAAGCAGCAUUUCCACGACCUGCUGCCAAACGGAUUCAUUUCGCCAAUCGGAUUAUCCAAAUCUGGAAUCAUCUGCUCGGCCUGGGUGCCGCAGGUGAAGAUCCUAGGACACGAAUCAGUAGGCGGAUUCCUGACACACUGCGGGUGGAGUUCAGUGAUCGAAUCACUUCAUUUCGGUGUUCCUUUAAUCAUGCUGCCGCUACAUUUGUCGGAUCAAGGGCUGAUCGCGAGGGCGUUUGCGGAGAAGGAGGUGGGUAUCGAGAUUCCGAGGGACGAAGAGGACGGGGCUUUCUCGAGAGGAGAUGUGGCAGCGACGGUGAGGACGGUGGUGGCGGAGGCGGAAGGGCAGAGGUACAGAGACAGAGCGGCGGAGGAGAAGGAGAAGGUGUUUGGGAAUCGGGAGAUUCAUGAUCGUUGCUUUGCUGAGUUUGUGAGAUUUCUUGAAGAUCAUCGUAGGAACAAGGCGUUGGGCGAGACACCGGUAAACUAGAGGAUUCCUUCAUUUGGAUUUAGAGUGUGUAAGACCAUCUCCAAUUUCAAAUGGUUAAAACUUGUUUAAUGUAGAAACUUAAAAUUUUAAAUGGUUAAAAAAUAUUGUUGUAGUCUUAUACUUAGUUAAAAUUAAGGUAAAAUAGUUAUAUUUAGUCAAUUAAUAAAAAAUAAUUAUGUAAAUUCCAUUAAAGAAAAAUGAUCUAAUAUAUAAAAAUUCUUAGUAGAAUAUAUAUGUUUUUAUUAAUAUGUUAUAAAAUAAAGUUUAAUAUUUAUAAUUAAAAUNNNNNNNNNNNNNNNNNNNNNNNNNNNNNNNNNNNNNNNNNNNNNNNNNNNNNNNNNNNNNNNNNNNNNNNNNNNNNNNNNNNNNNNNNNNNNNNNNNNNNNNNNNNNNNNNNNNNNNNNNNNNNNNNNNNNNNNNNNNNNNNNNNNNNNNNNNNNNNNNNNNNNNNNNNNNNNNNNNNNNNNNNNNNNNNNNNNNNNNNNNNNNNNNNNNNNNNNNNNNNNNNNNNNNNNNNNNNNNNNNNNNNNNNNNNNNNNNNNNNNNNNNNNNNNNNNNNNNNNNNNNNNNNNNNNNNNNNNNNNNNNNNNNNNNNNNNNNNNNNNNNNNNNNNNNNNNNNNNNNNNNNNNNNNNNNNNNNNNNNNNNNNNNNNNNNNNNNNNNNNNNNNNNNNNNNNNNNNNNNNNNNNNNNNNNNNNNNNNNNNNNNNNNNNNNNNNNNNNNNNNNNNNNNNNNNNNNNNNNNNNNNNNNNNNNNNNNNNNNNNNNNNNNNNNNNNNNNNUAACCCGGUAAAUAAUGUCCAAAUGAAGUUAAAACUCAAUUUUUACUUGACUUCAUGUUAGUGUUGGAAAUUGUCAAAUUGGCUUAUUUUAUUUAAUCUAUGAAUAUUGUUAAUAAAAUAUUAUAGUUAAAAUUGUUAACUACUAACCAUAUUAAAAUUAUUAAAAAUUAAAUUAAUUAAAACUCCUAUAUAAUUAGUAGUAGGAUUACUUUAUAAAAAAAUUUAAUUUUUUUUAUUUACAACAGGUAACCUUUUAUUUAAGUUGCCCUUUGUUCAUAGCUUAACCAUUAAUUUCAUGGUACGUUAUCGCCUUUUGGUUUGGGUAAUGGUAUAUUUGUACUUUUAGAAAGAAAAGUUUAUGAGUCGUCAGCAAUACGUCAGGAUGCGGCCAUUGAGAACAGAGGGUAAAUAAAGCAACAAUUUGGCCAUUUACGGCUGCUACUAUUGCCAGUUCGGUCUGAAUGCAAAAGAUCUUCUUUUUGUUUGUGUUUGUUGCGAGUGUUAGUUUUGUUGCCAGAAAAGAAAGAUAUCUAAAAAUGCUGAGGAGGGAGGGCAGCCGCCACCCAGUCAAACCCACGAUUUGUUUGACUAUAGACAUUUAAUUUUAACCAACCCCCACUCGCACACCUUCCCACCCAUUACACACUCUAAUCCAAACUAUAAACACUAUUUAAUGCCAAUUUUAAUUAGAUUUUGUCGACAUAAGAUAAAGGAAAAAUUAAAUUCAGAAAGUCUAACCUACCAUCCGUUUGCAAAAUUUGGCAUAUCUGUAUUUGCAGCUUGUUGAAUCAAUAGAAAUUCAUCAGAUGAUGUAGGAUUUAUUCGCUUGCACAAUAACGCUGUUUCAUAUGUAAUGAUUCUACGCAGAUGAAUUCGAGAUAGAGUCGAUUUAAAGCGUACCUUCACUCAAAACUAAAUAAAAUUUGCAUCUUUGAGUUGAGAAAAUAGCAAUUCCCGAAUAUUUGGGUUUGUUGAAUAUUUGAGAGAUUAAUUAUGAAUGUAAUGUUACUAACUCUCAGCCAUAUUUUAUAAUUUUCUAGUAUAAUUUAAACACUAGAAGUUGUCUGAUUUAUAAAAGACAAUAACUAUACUUUAUCGAUACAUUAUUCACCCACACUAUAUUUCAUUAAUUUCGCGGUUCACCUAACAAAAAAACCUAAAAAUGGACAAACCAUCAUCACAAUUCAGAACACAUCGAUCAACACUCAUAACCCAGCAAAACUUUACACUAGAUUAUGUAUGAUUAAUGAUUUAAUGCAUACUUUAUAAUUAAUUAAUCCACCAUACAGCAACAAGCAACAAAAAGAAAACAGAUAAAGAAAGACUUAACAAAGUCAAAACUCAAUUCGCCCUUUUAUGCCCUUUCCUACUAGCUCCCUGCACCUUCCUAGAACCAUCUCUAUGCAGCAUUUCCCAUUUUGCCCCCCAACCCUUUUUCUCAUCCAAUCACUAAAAUAAAGCUCUCCUCCUUCACCACGGCACCGCACUCUAUAUUUCUCCCCCCUUCCUCCCUCCUUCUUCCUCCAUUCUUUCUCUUCUUCUGUUUCUUUCCUCUUCUUUCCAUUUUCAUGGCAUCUUCCUCAGACACCUCCCACCACCACCACACCUUCACUUUCUCUUCUCACCCUUUCAUGACCAACUCCGCCACUACUUUCUCCGACCUCCUCUCCGACCAUCCCCCGCCACCGCCGCCUGAUUCUCACCGCCACCGAGGCGGCGGCUUAUCCGAUCGAAUCGCUGAGAGGACAGGCUCCGGCGUCCCCAAGUUCAAGUCCAUCCCUCCUCCUUCCCUCCCCAUUUCUCCUCCUUUCUCCCCUUCUUCCUUCUUCGCCAUCCCUCCCGGCUUGAGUCCCGCCGAGCUCCUCGACUCCCCUGUCUUGCUCUCCUCCUCCCACGUCAGCUUCUCUUCUUUCUUUGAUUUCAUUUUCAGUUUCCAAUUUUGAUCGCUUAGUGGUUUAAUUUAAUUUUAAUCGUAAUUUUGAAUUUGUCAUUACAGAUUCUGCCGUCUCCGACUACCGGAACAUUUCCUGCUCAGGCGUUCUGGACCAACCCCAAUUCAAUCCAAUCUCAUCGGAGAAACGUUAAGCAAGAAGCAGCUGAAGAUAAAAUCUCCUCCGAUUUCUCCUUCCACCAGACGGUAUGGUCUACACUCUGUUUGGCUAAUUUGGCCGUGGAAACUGUGUGCAAUCGGAAUUGUGAAAUUGAAUCGUUGUUUCAGGUACAAAGCCACCAACAGGAGGACUGGAGCUAUCAGGAAGCAAAGAGGAAGGAGGAUGAGUCGUCAUUUCAAAGCUUCUCACCGGAAAUUGCCACGAUUCAGGCGGCUCCUGCGGCGCCGCCGCCGAGGCAGUACCAGUCGGUGAGGGAGCAGAGGAGGGCGGAGGACGGAUACAACUGGAGGAAGUACGGGCAGAAGCAGGUGAAAGGGAGCGAGAAUCCGAGGAGCUACUACAAGUGCACUUUCCCUAAUUGUCCGACGAAGAAGAAGGUGGAGAAGAGGUCUUCAGAUGGGCAGAUUACUGAGAUUGUUUACAAGGGCAGCCAUAACCAUCCCAAGCCUCAGUCUAAGCAGAGAUCGUCUUCCGCCGCUUCCUCCGUCACUACUGCUUCGAAUUCUCAGGCGAUUCAUCACCCUGCUCAGAGUUAUGAUCAGAUUCAAGAACACUCGUUUGGGACUACUACUCAUGGUAGCGGCCAAAUGGACACUCCGGAGAACUCUUCCAUCUCAAUCGGAGGAGGAGACGAUGAUUUUGACUCGCAUAGAUCAGGGAGGGAUGAGAUUGAUGAGGAUGAACCUGAUGCCAAACGAUGGUAAGUUUCUAUACUUUGCUGCUUAAUUCCGGCGUCCCUGAAUCAUACAGUCGUAGAUUUUAAACGAUUUUCAAAUCUAACACAUUUGAAAAAAUAGGUAUAAAUUUUAAAUUUGAGAAUUUUAUAUAGUAGUAUCGAGCUUUGAGACAGGGGAUCCUGAAAGGUAACUUCGAAUGAUAGUUGAGGUUUUAUGCUAGUAAGAGUUGUAGAGCCUCGAAUCGUCAGGAAAUCCAUCGUAUUUUAAAUAUAAAAGUAUCAUAAUUUUUAAUUUCGAGAGUUUUACGUAGAAUUUUGUCAUAUUUUGUGAGUAAGUAUCUUAAGAGGUAGUCCUGAUUGGGACUAGCUACAUUAAACUUCAAUCCUAAUAGUUUGUUUGCCAUAUGUUUGAUUGAUCAGGAGAAGAGACGUAGAGAACGACGGAAUAUCGUCAUCAUCAAUGGCGGCAACUGGAAACAAAGCGGUGAGAGAGCCAAGAGUCGUAGUACAAACAAGGAGCGACAUAGACAUUCUCGACGACGGGUACAAAUGGAGGAAGUAUGGCCAAAAGGUGGUGAAGGGAAACCCUAAUCCAAGAAGCUACUACAAAUGCACGUACAUCGGUUGUCCGGUGAGGAAGCACGUAGAAAGGGCUUCCACGGAUAUGAAAUCGGUAAUCACCACCUACGAAGGUAAGCACAAUCACAACGUCCCCGCAGCUCGCGGCAGCAGCCACCCUUCAACCAACAGAAUGGGUCAGAGUGGUGCAGCCGGAGAGCAAUACUACUGCACCAUCGGAGAGAAGGCUGCCGAUGGUGCAACAACAUGAGGAAGCAGGGUUCGGAUUUUCGGAGCUGAUGAUGGGGAAUCCAAUGGGGGAGAGCAUCUUCAACAGGAGUACUAAAGAUGAACCAAGAGAUGAAAGCUUCUUGGAAUCCUUGUUGUUUUGAUGGAAUAGAUAAUUUGAUUUUUUAUUUAUUCAUCAAUUGGGUUUGUUUAUUACUUUUGGGGUGUAAAUCUGUAGUUGCAGGCAUAUGGUUUGUCUGUAUAGUCCAAAGUAGAAGUUCUCUUCUUUUAGGUGCAUAUGAGAGAUUAGCUAUAGCUCAUUGCCCACAUCACUUCACAAAAGUUCAUCUUCUUGUAAUUUUUCAUACGAAUUGGUUCGAGGCCUUUGGCAUGUCUCGAGUCGAUUAUUUGUACCAAACUUUGUAUUAUUAUUUGAUUUAUCAUCAAAGCAAUACAGCUUAUAUAUUUAUUUGAUUCUAAAUUUCGUAUAUCUAAAUUGAUAUAAAUAAAGUCGUUAGAUGGAACAUGUAUUUUGAAAAUGAACCAAUAUAAAAAAUAUCUAUUUUUUUUGUCUGUUUGAAUGGGUCAAAAUGGGAGGAUGCUGCUUUCCAGCCGCCAGGAUGAUGUAGUAGAAAUUGAUUGGGGAUUAGUAAUUGCUUGAGGCACAAGUUUGGUGAAGAUGUCAACUCCGUGAAAUUUAAAGCGCGUCCACUCACUUGCCUUCCCCAAUUUUGUAUUUACUUCCCUUUUCUAGAAGAAGAAAACGACCACAACAACAAAAAGAACAGCUGUGAAAAAAAAAGCCGCCAUGGCUAUCAAAUCCGUAGUAUUUAGCUAGAAAUGGAACUAUAUUACAAUAACUGUGGAAACGAAACUAACAUGAACUCUUGACUAGUCAGUGAAUUUCUAUUGAUAAAUGUACACCAAUAUAUAAAUGUAAAAUGAGUAUAAAUUAUUUUUUAUCUUUAUUUAGACUUCUCACCUCCGGGAAAAUUAAUUCACCGAUCUUUCGUAGCUAUCGUAUAUUUUGGGUUUAAACUUAGGUGUUCAUUAUUGAUAACGAUGAGCAAUUCGUCACACGAAUGUGUCUCUAACCGGACCUUAAACCAGUCGAAUUAAUCAAAGUAUUUCGACAUCAGAAUAUUGACGUGUAGACCGGUUUGUAUAGGUUGGAUUCUGGGUGGGUUGUUGGUCAUGAUUUAUCGAGUUACAAAAAUAAAAGGAUGCUAACACUAAGGAUCGAACCUCGUUCAAUGCUCAUUGGACUUCAGCAUAUUUAGGCCUGUUAACCUUCUCCGACGGUUUUAGUUGUUACAAGUCCACGGCCUGCUGGCCUCCAUGGUACUUUGGGCUUGUGGUGUAAUUUCGGCUUAGAAAUUUGAAACCUUAAGUCUCUACCUAUGGGCUGAAAUAAUAGCCCAUUUAAAUUUUUUUACCUCUAAGCCCACCAUGUGGUUUGAAUGGGCACCUUCAAAUCUCUUUUGUUUUUAUUGUUUAUGAUCCAAGACUGAACUUUCAUCCGAGUGACGUGUUAUAUGCUAAACGAGUUAUGGAUUCAUUAAGUCAUAAAUUAAAUAUUUUAAUUGUUAAUAAAUUUAUAACGCGAAUCGAAGUGAGUCAUACUAAUCAAAAAUCAACACUAACAACUCUACUAAUUAAUAAAACUAACUAUAUUUUAUAAGUAUACAACUAACAAGACACAUACACCCACAUCCACCUACAACAAUAUUAACAAAGUUAAUCCUAAAUCAUUUGCUCUAAAAAAAAGAUAAUCCAAAAUCAAUGUCAACCUUCCCUAAAGGGUAGGUAGUUGACAUCAAAAGGGUAGAUGUCUUUUUCAUUGUGAUUAAUUAUUGUUGUUCCCUCCUUAGUCCUUAAACUGCUGAUUUUUGUCUUCAUAACAAAACAUAAUCUAAUUUGAAAUAUAUGAAACACAAAUGUAAACAUUAAAAUCACUAACCUAUUUCAUUCCACCGGUAAUAAUAUAGACAAUUCAAACAUCAAUUUAUUCAUCAAGACUGUCUAAUAUAACUCUGAUAUAUGUAGUUAUGGGCCUAAUCUCGUAUCGAUUCGACAUCUAAGACUGUUCAAAACUAUGGAUUUCACCUCAUCGGACUUCAAUCCCCCUAAGGUUAUAAUACUAAACCAUUUGAGUCGUAACACUUAUAUUAAGUCAUUGAAAGAUAGUAAUUAGCGAUAAUUGAAGUAUUGGGAUUCACAAUUAACAUUGAGAACGUGGUGAGAAAAAGUACAUUUGAAGGUAAAACAAAACAAGUGGUUAGUACUUAAUUUAUGGAACUUUGUACUCAUAAAAAGAAUGGAAAUGUUCAUGGUUUUUGGGGAUUGCCGAGCAAGAGGACAGGAAUUUUAAGAUCUUAGCACUGUAAACAAGUGAUUAAUUAUUAUUAGUUAUGGUUUGAGGAAGAAAAUGUGAACAUCAAUUGUAACCACUGUAAUGUCAUUCAAUAUUGAAACAAACAUUGUAGAUCAAAAGCAUUGAACCAAGAUUUAGGUUCAUACAAAAGGCAAGGCGAGUCUAGCUAGGUUAUCCGCUCGCUCUAUAAUGAAAAUUGGCGUAAUCGACAGUACUCGAGAUUAAUAGACCCAAUCAUACGCCCAAAAAAAUCGUGUUAAGAUGAGCCCUAGUUAAGCUAAUGCAUAAGAUGAAAGAGUGCGGGCAAUAAGGAAAACAAAUGACACAUCCCAUAACCAUAAUAUUCAACUUAUACAAGCAAAAAAAUCAACAUAAACCAGUUGAACUGAACUGAUUGUCUAUCCUAGGUAUAUGUUAAUGAUGCAUGUACUUACAUGAUGAACUGGCUCAGUAUUAAAUUUGAUGACUUGACCUACAACAUGAAAUUGACAGUUAUUGCCAGAAAGAAAAUACGGUUUUGGCUAUAAUAAUUUGCAGGCCGAUGGAAUAUUAAUUACUUAAUUAAAUAUUAAAAAUGAAGUCAUCCCAAGUUGUUAUUAUGUACCAAAUUCAAGUAAUCACAAGCGGUCACCACUUUACCCGGCAUCCCCAAUAUUCUUUUCGUUCUCCACUCAUCGGCCUUUCGAAAUUCAUACGCCUGUAUUUGAAUUUUUGCACAAAAUCAACAUUACAAAGGGUGCAGGGAUUUGCAAUCGCUCUUCUUAAGACCAAACAUACCAUGUAUACGUGUUUUGGAAAGUGUUAUUAUCAAUUACAANNNNNNNNNNNNNNNCAAUUCAUAAAUUACGAUUUUAAGUUGUCCAUUCUGUAUCAACUGAUGUCGCUAAUAUAUUUUUCUAGAAUUUAUAGUUUGGAUUAAUAUCCCGAUAUUUUUUUAAAAAGUAAUUCAACAACAACAGAAAUAUGGGGUGGAUGAUGAACUAACAUUAGUGUGUUAAUUAUUGAAGUGGGUAUUGUUGUGACCUUAAAGAAUUAUUUGUUGACAAUGGAAACCCAACUUAGCUGUCAAAUUAAAUGAAAGAAAAUGGGCAUUACUAUCAUCUAUUAAUAAUAAUAAUAAUAAUAAUUUGCAUUUCGUAAGAAGAAAGAAGAAUCUUCCCACGUUGGAUCUCUCGUCUUCAUCUUACUGACAACAAAAUGAAAAUUAAACCCUUUAGGAAGACUCGUUAUAUUCAAUCACUUCCCAUACCCAAUCCAACUUGUUAUUCUAAUCCAUUCCCAAACCAUAUAGCAACAAUAUUCAAUCGGCCGAAUUCUAUUCUACUUAGGAUCUCCGAGCAUAAUAAUUCGACUAUUGAUAAUAUCAACGUCAUAAAUAAACACACUGAAGGGAUAAAAACUCAAAUCGAGUCAACACACACCCAUCAUCAUCAUCAACACACAUUUAUUUACAAAGAUCUCAAUCGAUUGAUUUUUAGGAUGGAUAGCCGAAAUUAAACUGUUAAAAAAAAUAACCUUGGAUCUGCUUUUUGCGUUUCUUUUUUCACUAAUCUGCAGAUCGAAACAGAAGAAAACGACAACCUCCCCCAAAACCAAUCGCAAAAAGAAAGAUAAAAAUAUCCACAAAUAACCGGUAAAAAAAGAUUCAAAAGUAAAACCCGCAUCUCCGACGCCGAUCCCUGCCGUCGGCGGCAGAGAUUUAAAAAACAAAGGAGAAUGACACAUAUAAAAAUAGGAAUCACUCCGCCAGUUCACUGAUGCUCUCAAGACUUUGCCGCCACGCGCCGGAUCUCCCGGUCCGUCUAUGCCGCCGGGAAGAAGAAGUCGACAGCUUCUUCUGGUCGGCGAUCACCGCAUCCCUUAGAUACCGAUCGCAUACGUCGACGUCGACGGACAUGACUUGCUGUUCCUUGACUAUAUUAUUGGCCGUCUUGGUAGUGGUGGAAGAAGUAGUCUUUCCGCCGCCUCCGCCGAGGCAUUUGGGGCGGCGCUUCUUGUCGGCGGGGAGGGAGGAUUUGGGGAUGAGGAAGUAGAUGCUGCCGCGCUUAAGCUCGGAGUCAGGGGAUAAGAUGAGGAUGCGGCCGACGACGGUGCCUCCUUGGGAGGAAGGCUUGCUGAGGACGUGGUUGGGGUUGGCGUGGAGGACCUCGCCGGCGGUGAUGGGUCGGGUGAUUUCCUCGACGUAGCCGUUGAGGUGGACGAUCCGGAUGAGGUCAAGGGCUCCGCACGGGAGCACGCAUGCCAAACAGCACCUUAAGCUGUUUCCCAUUAUGAUUGAAUGUUUUCUUCUUAGCUCUUCUUCUUCUUGAAGGGAUUUAUUUGAUUGACCGAUUAGGGAACGAUGGAAGAAGGAAGAGUUGGAGGUGUGUGUAUUUAUAGAGCUUGGACCCGCCGUACAUGUAACAACAAAUUUUCGAGUUACGUUGCUUUCAAUAGUAAUUUAUUUUGGGGUUUUAAAUUACUAUUUUGUCCUUAUUUAGUGAGUUGCGUUUUUUUAAAUGACGUGGUUUUGCUCUAUAGGGGCAAAUUUGGAGGCAGAUUUUAAUCCAAUGAAGAUUUUUUUUAAUACGACUUGAAAGUGCAUUUAAAUGUUAUUAGAAAUUAUUGAUAUGAUAUAUGGAAGAAUAAUAUUAAUAAUAUCAUAGUUUAAUUAAUAAGACAAGUCCUAAUAAGUAAAUGAAUGAUAAUUACAUUAUUGUCUUGGUAUAAGUUUUAAAGUUUAGUGAUCGGUGGGUAAAAAGUUUAAAGUCGUUAAAGUUAUUAACCUUUUUUAUAAUGAUCGUUUAAUGUUUUCAUUCAUAAAUAAGUGGUUAUUUUAAAACAUCAAGUAUAUCAUAAUGACAGUAGGCAAACAAAAGAUCAGAAAUAAAGACAUUAUACACACUGAAGAGCAUUUCGUGUCAAAUGCUACCAAGAUCAUCGCCUUCAUUAUUGCCUUCUCUGUAGACAUGAAUAAACUUGACCUCACAUGCCAUUUGCAACAACUCCUGAUCAACAACAACAACAACAAAAUGAUGAUGGACGUACGUAGCCUUUCUCCCAAGCUAUAUUAAAGCUCGUAUCCAAUCUAUAUAAGUGAAUUGCACAAUGAAAUUUGAGUUGCAUUGAUAUUCACAUAUACGCUUUCUCCCAAAUUAUAUUAAAGUAUCAUUACAAUUUCCUUUAACGAAACGCACGGUAUCAAACACACAUCCAAAUAUCGGGAAUCAAACCUCCCUGUAAAUUUGUUUACAUUUCAACUAAACCACCUAAAUUAUGGGAUAGCCACAAAAAUGGUUCUGAUUAAUAUGUAAUAAAGCAUAAAAUUAAAAGCAUCAUUCAUUCAUUUGAAGGUUGAUAACUCAACAAAACAUUUUCAAUAGCAAUUAUUUUGGUGGUGAAAGGGCUUUCUUUCUUUUUCUAUAAGGUAGCAGUUGGGAUCUUUUAUUUUAAUUAAUCGGCUGGGGUGUUGAUCUAUUAGCAAAUGGUAAUGUUCCUUGUAAAUCUCAUUAGCUUAAGCAGCCUUAUUACGAUAAUUUAUAUAAUAAUUAAUGCAUCAAGACUAAGGUACUUGGCUGAAUAUAUAUUAUCAUCAAAUAAUACAAGCCACUUUC
This 44849-nucleotide long non-coding RNA is filed under the name Linum usitatissimum (flax). RNAcentral's name for it is "long non-coding RNA (LUSI_LNC002859)". The record is from RNAcentral. Lineage: Eukaryota; Viridiplantae; Streptophyta; Magnoliopsida; Malpighiales; Linaceae.